RNAcentral lists this long non-coding RNA (80726 nucleotides) under Ananas comosus (pineapple). Its description in RNAcentral is "long non-coding RNA (ACOM_LNC031550)". The stretch from base 70834 to 70907 matches the Rfam family "tRNA". The record is from RNAcentral. Lineage: Eukaryota; Viridiplantae; Streptophyta; Magnoliopsida; Poales; Bromeliaceae.
UGGAUCCUUGGAGCAGCUUUCAAACGACGUAUAAGCUACAGGAUAAGCUUAGAGAAAUGUUCAUUUGCUGAGAUACUGGAUGCUUACCGAAAGAGGGGAAUUGCAUGUAAGAGAAGGGAGAAUCUUCAUGGACUGGCUUCCACCAAUCGAAGUUUCGCGCAUUUCAGAUGGUGGUAAAGUGAUACCACAUAAGGAGCUCUUCCUCAUUCAGUCAUAUUCCUAAGUAAGAAAUGUUUGAGCCUUCACCUUUUUUCAUCUUCAUAUAGAAAGAAAAUCGGCUUUCCUCAUACUCCCCCCUUCAUUCAUUGAGUUGGAGGAAUCCACAAGAGGCCCGUCCGUUCAUAAUUGCAUAAAAGAACCUUUCUUUUUAUGAAAACUCUUGUUCCAACCUUAGGUCGAAUGAAUACGAAAGGGAGAUCAAUCAAAUCAAUAAGCCAUGAAUGAAGAAGUAGAGGGCCUUUCACCUUAUUUCGUUUUACUCGUGGAGCUGAUAAAUCUACUUCAAAGGGAGGGAAGCUAGGAGUGAGGGUCUUCUCCUUGAUUUUUUUCAAAAAUUUCUUUAGUCUCACCAGCGGCUUUUACCCACCAGCAUAUCGCCCAGCAUUAGUGGAGGGUCGAAGAAAUUUCCGUACCUUCCUUUUUCGUCUUUAUCACCCUUCGCUUAUCACUUCUACACUAGCAGAUGUUGGAGCACCACUCAUGUUCAGAGCAGGAAAGGUUCUACACUCUAUUAUGAAGUAAGGAAGAUCUGGAUACAGAAACUUCUACAAUUGCUAAUGCCGGAACAUCGCAAAACGGAAGAUUCUAUGAUGCACACAUAGACGUAAGUAAUUUACUUUUUUUUACACCAAUGCUGGAUAAGAGAAAAGUGUCCUAAGCCAGGCGAGCCUAAUUCUAGCGUAGGCCGACCGGGAGCCGUCGAAUGCUCGGAUCAAUUGCUACCUCUGCUGUUGGUGCUUUUUGCACUAGACGGAAUGAACCGACUGCCGGGAAAACACAAUGUAUCUACCCCCCGGGUCAAUUUCUUCUUCGAUUGGUUUAGAAAAUGUCACCUUUGCCGCUGACGCCGUCAUAGUUAUUAGCACAAGUACAGUACCUCUACCAUCUACUUGAAACCUUUCAUACCAAGUCACUGCAUAGCUACGCCCGCAAUGAGCAAUGGGUAGACGCGAGCGAGAAAAGGCACGCAGAAUAGUUUAUUUAGGAAAUGAGAAUCGUAGGAGUGCACGGAAGAGUGCGAUUGGUUGAUGUUGGGCGAGCGAACCCGCUUAUGGUCUAUCCUUGUAUAGUAGCGAAUAGAAAGGGAUAGACAACUACUAGAACGCAAGGCCUAUUCAUCAUAAGAUCGAAAACGGAACAUUAUGAGAAUUGAUCAGAACCCUCCACUCUCCAGUCCGGGGACGGGAGGCCACAAAUGGAGUAUGGCAACUGAUCAAUAGCUUCAACUGAUACUGCUUCUAAUGGAGAAACUGGCUAGUAGAGACAGACGGACUAUCUUUGUCAAAGGAAGCCAUAUAAUUAGGCAAACCAUGAAGAAUAAAUGUCAAGCAAGCAGCCACCUGUACGAAUAUAGCUAGCGAAUUUGCAGAUGUGCUUCGUUUCACUUAAUGUAGGGUAGGCAAGGGCAGGGAAGUAAACAACAGCAAAGAGGGCUCAGACGAGGUGAGUGGCGGGCUUCUUUAAAGCUUCUUCUGGACUGCGACAGGGGGACCCAUUGCCCCCGUACCUUUGAACUCUGGUUAUGGAAGGUUUCACAGCUCUCAUGGAGUAUGCCUCUCUGUGUAAACAGAUAAAACCGGUGAAUAAUGGUGGCCCGUUCAGCAUCUCGCACCUAAUAUUUGCUGACGACCUUCUGGUCUUCACAAAUGGAGAUGAUAGAUCACUGAAAUAACCAGAGAAAGUCUAAAAGGAGUUUGAGGGUCAAGCUGGUAUGAAAGUCAGUGUGGAAAAACUCCAAUUUGACUUGGGAGGUAACAUGAAUGGUAGAAGAAUUAGAUCGAGAUUGCACAAGGAAUUUACCCAUCAGGUACAACGGCCUACCUCUCUUCUCUUCCCGUUUGAAAGCGUCCCUUUUCCAAUCCCUGUCAAAGUCAAGAUUUCUGGCUGGACAGGCAAACUCUUAUCCUUUGCGGGUCGGUUUAAGCUUAUCAAGUGGGUCCUCCAUGCAUAUCAGAUGUAUUGGUUGGCUGCGAUUUUUUCUUCCCUCCUUGAAGGUGAUAGAAAAGAUGAUGAUUGUGGAAUGGUGCCAAUCCGAAGCAAGGUUAUAUGACUGUUAGCUGGACUAAGAUCUGUACUACCAAGCAAGGAGGAGGGCAGCCAAGACUUGCUCAUGGAUGAAAGCAAAACCGGGCUGGCAUAAACAGAACUCGGAUGGGGCUCUUUCAGAUAGCGGUGCAGGUAUGGGUAUCGUCAUCAGAGAUGCCAAUGGCUCCUAGAUCAAAAGCAAAUCCUUCCAUUGCGGGAAAGAAGAUAUCCUACAUAUCGAACUCGGUGCUAUCCGAAAGAGGAAUUGGCCAUCGACCUAGGAUUUUCGAGGCUCUAGAUCGAAGCGGACUCCCUUUUGGCUGUCGUGUGCGCAGAUCUCUCGUCUGCCCUUGGAAUGAAAGAAGAAAUUUUGCUCAUAUCUUGCAUCUCCUCCAACAGAUACCCGAUUGGAAAAUGGGGAAGCUAACUUCUGUGCCGACCAUGAAGCUAAGAUUGGACUUGACGGUGACGAAGUCACUAUUUUGGCUGAUCUUCUGCCACCCCCUCUACAGCCUUUUCUAGAAGAAAAGAAGACAGAUCUUGAACGCAAUACACUCGAGCCUAACAAUCAAUCUCAGGCAGCCUCUACUAAACUCCGGGAACUUUCUGAUUAUGUGUAAUCAGUUGUUUUCAAAGUCGUUUUAUCCUUUUAUUUUUGAGGAUAUUGACGGAACUAUUUCUUUUUUUAUAAAAACUGGUAUGGUAGGUGCCCUCGUGGGAUUGUCGAUAAGCAAGACCUUGCAAAGACUAGCUUAUCAGGCUCUCUUUGAGCUACAAGCGAUUUGUGAGCCUGCUAUAUAUUCCGGUUUUUCUUCUAGUAGGUAGAGUAGCCUACACUUGAGUAGGUCUGUAUUUUUAGUAACUAACUAACUAACCCUUUAGUUGGUCUGUGGAUAGUCAGUCUGUAGAUAGAGUAGCUUACCCUUCAACUAGUUAUUUUUCUUCAUCUGGCUGUCGAUCCCUACCUACUGGCUGUCUAACUGCACUAUUCCCUUGGGAAUGGUUGACCAACUCACUAAAAUCAUGAGGAGCUUUCUGUGGGAGAAAAGUGAUUGUACCAAAGGCCUUCACCUCAUAAGCUGGGGCAAGGUCACUAAUGCUACCAAUGCUGGCGGGUUAGGCAUUAGAGAUCUUAGAACUUUGCAGCCAGCCCUCCUUGCGCCUAAGGCUUGGAAUUUGAUUAGGAUCGAGAUUUUUAAAAAUCAGUAUGCUACCUUUCAUCCCUGGAGAUCUGGGAAAAAGAAAAAGAAGUCACCUCUUUACAAAGCUAUCCACAAUUCUAUGGAAUCCAUGAAAGAUGGCUUGAUCAAACAACUUGGAGAUGGCAAAUCUACCUCUAUCCUUGACGACCCGUGGGUGUUUGAGAUUCCUAUUGCUAUCAAGCCCACCCUCAUCAAUAUGGAUUUGCAAUUUGGCAAUAGGAAGGUCAGCUGGCUGUUAUCCAAAGGUAGUUGGAGGUCUAAUCGCCUGCUGGAACUCUUCGGUGAGUCUCUGGCAAUGGCGAUUUUCUCUCUUCCUAUUCUUGUUGCCAAAACUCAUGAUGAUUGGAUAUGGAUGCAUCAACCCAAUGGUCAGCCUUCGGUGAAAUCGAUCUAUGAGUUCAUCCACAGGGACCCCCAAAACACUAAGACCUGUUGGCCUGGUUGGACCAAAAUUUGGAAAUUGAAGGUUGCCCCCAGAAGAAUAGCUCUAUAGUUUUUCUCAUUGGCAGAAGUGCAGUGCAGAUCAGAAGGUCGUCCACAAACAUAAGAUGAGAGACCUUACGAGUGCGAUUAAUUCAAAACCCAUCAAUGUCACCUCUAUUCAUGCAAUCGUUAAGCAGAUGGGUAAGCAAUUGGGAGCAUAAAAUAAAGAGAUAAGGUGAAAAGGGUCUCCCUGUCUAAUACCACAGUUAGUCUUCAACCAUUUUGUCGGAGUACCAUUGAUAAGCAAGGAAAAGGAAACAGAGGUAAUGCAAGCCUUAAUCCACAAGCACCAUUUGGCAGGGAAAUUCAUAGCAUCCAAAAUCGAAAGAAUAGCAUUCCAAUCAAGCCGGCCAUAAGCCUUUUCCAUAUCGAUUUUAAAAAGCAUCAAAGGAUCGUCACGGUUCCUGCUAAAUUCCAUGGAAUGCACGAUUGAAUGCACAGCCAUAAUGUUGUCAGAGAUGUUCCUACCAGCCACAAAAGCAGCCUGCUCAGCUCCUAACAUGUUAGGCAACAGGGUUUUCAUUCUGUUCACUAGGACUUUAGACAGCAGCUUGUAGAUCACAUUACACAAGGAAAUGGGCCUUCAUUCUUCCACCUUGGAAGGGUUGGGCCGUUUAGGGACCAGGGUAACAAAGGUCUGACCCCACAGAGAAGGGUCAGUAGCAUGAAACUUUUCAAAGGCCAGACCAAUGCCACUACCCAACUGAUCCCAGAAGCAUCUAAAAAACUCUACCUGAAAACCAUCAGGCCCAGGGGCCUUUCCAAGGGGCAUCGACCACAAGGCUGCUCUAAUCUCCUCAAUGGAGAAGGGUUUAAGGAGCUCAUCCUCGCAGGCAUUAGGGAUAGAAGGGAAGUUGGUUAAGUUGAGACUACAUAAAUUAGUGGAGUUAGGAGUAGCCCAAAUGUUCCUAAAAUGAUUAAAAAAAAACAUUACCUAUCUCCUUAGGAUCCUCCACUCUAGAACCCUCACAGUCAAGAAUAGCAGCAAUCCCUAUUAUUGCGUCUCCGCUCCGGAUAAGGGUAGAAGUAUGAAAAAAUUUUGUAUUAAGGUCACCUUUUUGCACCCGGAUUUGGAUCUCCAUUUAGUAUCCAAUUGACGCAAUAAGGCAAGAUGGUGGUUAUAAAGGGUCUGCAGGUUGCGUUUGUCAUUCUUGCUAAGUCCACCAGCGGAUUGUUUAAGUUCUAACUCCAGGAUUUUUUAUUUCACCGAAUCAAUGAGAUUUUCCAGUUUGCCAAGGUCCUUUUUGUUCCAGUAGGUGACCCUAUCUCUGAUAAUACUGAAUUUAGCAAGAAGAUCAGAGAAGGCAUCAUCAUACAAAACAUUAGAGCAAACAUCCCUAACCAAAUUGUGAACAGUUUCAUAUUCUAACCAAAAGAGUUCAAAACGAAAAGGACGCUUGGCAGAAAGAUUUCUACAAGUAAAAUAAAAAGGUUAAGGAGCAAAGGAGCAUGAUCCGAACCACUUCUUGGAAGAUGUUUAACUAAAGCAUCAGGAAAUAAAGAAAUCCAGUCACCAUUCGCCAGACAGCGAUCAAUACGGCUCCAGACCCUGGCUUCCUCGGACCGGUUAUUACACCAGGUAAAACGAGGUCCAGUGAAUCCAAGGUCAAAAAGCCUAGCACGGGAGGUAAAGUCACAGAACAAUCUCACAGAUUGUGACAAGGAAAAAUCUUGACCUCCCCGCUUUUCAGACGGAUCAAAAAUCAUAUUGAAAUCACCCAAACAAAGCCAAGGAACCAACAUAUGUUAAAUACAUUCCAGCUCAGAGCAAAGAGAAUUUUUUUCCGGAAAGGUAUUACCUGCAUAAGUGGCGGAGAUGAUCCAAGGUUGACGUUGAGGCAUGUAGACAACACCAUGCAUGACUUGUCUUGAGCGAUGAAAGGUCACAAUACUUACCGCUGUUUUCUUCCAGGCCAUGGCAAUGCUCCCCGAGAGACUACAUGCUAUUCAUUUGGAAGACGAAAUUGUGAGGAAGCAUUGCACAGGUCAGAGAGAGAAUACGAUAGCGACCUUUUUUUGUAUAGAAAGUAUGGAGGUUCGGAAUGGAAUGUUAAAGUUUGUUUGGGCCUGUCAAGUGGGGCCCCCGCCCCCCUAAAUAAGGUAAAGGCGUCGACUUGAGAGCCUUCGGAACUGGACUCCCCUUUAUUGUUCUUUCAAAUAGUUGGAUGAAAUACGAAUAAUAUCUGCGCCUAUCUAUUGAGUUCAAUGGCAGAGCCUCCGUAGAAUGACUCCUGGGAGGGACAGUUUUAUAGUAAAUAUGUAUAGGUCCGCUAAUGAGAAAGCUUUACCUUUUUUUACCUGACCCUCUCGACACUCCCCGAUCAUGGGUCUCCGGCACCUACCGCAGUGAAGGCCGCUUACUGUCCAUCAUGGCUGAGUUCGAGCUCCCCCGUGUCCACCAUAGACACAUCCUACUUCACCCACUUUUUUUACGCAUUCCUCACACCUGACCCCGUCUCAUAUGAGCUUACAGUGUCAGAAUCCGACAGUCCCUUACUAUCCAGCUUCACCACCACCCUUCAUCACAAGAAUCCACCGGUUAAGAACCUACUCUCUAUUGCCGGAGACCACGCCAUCUUCGCUCGCAUGGCUACCAAAGCUUCAUCGACUCCACAAUUGAGAUUGGACGGAAAUACGGAUUCGAUGGACUGGAUCUCGAUUGGGAGUUCCCCCAAAGCACUCAAGAGAUGGAAGACCUCGGUGUCCUUCUGGAGGAGUGGCGGCUCGCGCUCAUAAAAGAAGUCACCUAGCUGUAGCGAGCCGGCUGGGAUGAAUGCAUUUAAAGCAAACGGGACCGUAGAGGGUGGGCCUGCCUUACCGGUCACGAUUCCAUCGCCCACGAAGAUCAACGAUGCACGGACGGUCUCAGCUCGCGGUCCCAGGCAUGAAGAGCAUGAGCGGGUGAGCUCCACCUCUUCCUCUACCUUAGGCGGGAGCGCGACCUGCUCCCCGGUCCCAUGGUGCUCUUUGUUACCGUUAGCGCCCCGUUAGUGCUUCUUUACCAUUUAAAUUUUAGCCUACCCUCUUUUCUGCCUUUUUAAUUUAAGUAAGUAAGAAAAUUAAAGCAAAAAUGCUUUAUCUUUGAUAUUGAAUAUUGUAGAACAUUAAGAAUAGAAAAAUGGAGAAUAAAAAAAAUAGAUGUGAAUCAAACAAAGGUGGGGGAUAACCUUAUGACAAAUUUCUAAAAGGUAGGGGAUAACCCUAUGAUAAAGAACUCAAGUUCGGGUAGAGAAGUCAAAGUUUUAGCUCAACAUAGUUGUAUGUCUGUUUUCAAAGCGCGAAGAGUAAUUGAUCAGAUUCGCGGGCCUUCCUAUGAGGAAAGACUUAAUAUACUGGAACUCAUGCCUUAUCGAGCAUCUUAUCCCAUUUAUAAAUUGGUUUAUUCUGCAGCAGCAAAUGCUAAUCAUAAUAUGGGUUUGAACGAAGCUGAUUCAUUCAUUAGUAAAGCCGAAGUCAAUAGGAGUACUAUUGUGAAUGUGAAAAAGUUAAGACCCCGGGCUCGAGGACGUAGUUAUCCGAUAAAAGAUAAAAAGACCGACGUGUCAUAUAACAAUAAAAAAAAAAGUAUUUAAGGAUGGCAGUUAACUCUGAAGCAAAAUCGGCUUUAAGCCGUCCCAUCUCUUCUCAGGCACCUUGACGAACUGCUGUGCCAUUGUGUUUACAUAGAUUUCCUCUUUCUUGUGCUUGGAUAGAGGCUCCAAGCCAAAUCCUUGCGAGCCGGGAGAUAGAACCUUGAUGCUCAAACCAAGGCCUCGACAAGCAGAAGUAAAGAUUACAGGCUUCACCAAACGGGAAGGCAGCUGCGGCCCCGGCAAGUUCAAAACGCUGUUGUACAGCGGCAAAAUGGGCUCUCCUCUCUCCAGCCCAUAAUAGUCCAUGGCAGUGAAGAGGGUGGCCAAGUCUUCAUCAGAUACCUCGGGCUCCGGGUCAGACAGCUCCGGGAUAUCUCCAAAAGGGAACUCCCUCCUAUUCACAUCCUCAUAAAAAUCUGGGGAUGACGACCCCUCAGCAGCAGUAGCAGCACCAGUCUGCGUGACUGCUUCUGCAGCAGCAAAAACAGAAGUAUUUACAGGAUCCGCCAAACGCCUCAACUCAUCCGAUGGGGUCGGUGAAGGCAACUUAGCUCCAGGGGAAGGGGAGCGAGGAAGAGAAGGAAGCCCAGAGGCAGCUUCACCCUCAGCACCAAAAGAUUGCUCUCUAUGAUCAGCCAUUUCUGCAAAUGAAGGCAGUUUAAAGUCAGAAUAUUGAUAUAAAAUCUUCAAGUUGCAAAGAAAGACAAAAUUCUAUCAAAGUAUGAUGAUAUAUUGUUAGAAAGAAGGAAACUUCCUGCUACUUCAAGUUUUUAAACAGGAAGAGUCAACUCAGAAACUAGAAUAUUACAGUGAAAUUUACAUAUUCCUUAACUUUGAUUUGAUUUUAUUUUUUAAGUAAAGAGAUUGAAAUAUAGAGGUAUUUUACUUCUAUUCUAUAAGUUGAGGAAAUUCUUACACAAUUAAGGGGAUUUCAGAUCCAGUGUUAUAAAUUUCUCAUGUCUACUGCAAAUUCAAGGUUUUAAUCCUUUAUUAUUAAGUUCUCCCGCAAAAAUCCUGGAAGAUAAACCCUAAGCGGCAGCACCGCAAAGAGAUAUGUGAAAGACAAAGACUUAAAAAAAAAAAGGGAAUAGCUCAUAGGCUGAUUACUGCUUGGUGGAGAAUGGGAGAAACUUCUGNNNNNNNNNNNNNNNNNNNNNNNNNNNNNNNNNNNNNNNNNNNNNNNNNNNNNNNNNNNNNNNNNNNNNNNNNNNNNNNNNNNNNNNNNNNNNNNNNNNNNNNNNNNNNNNNNNNNNNNNNNNNNNNNNNNNNNNNNNNNNNNNNNNNNNNNNNNNNNNNNNNNNNNNNNNNNNNNNNNNNNNNNNNNNNNNNNNNNNNNNNNNNNNNNNNNNNNNNNNNNNNNNNNNNNNNNNNNNNNNNNNNNNNNNNNNNNNNNNNNNNNNNNNNNNNNNNNNNNNNNNNNNNNNNNNNNNNNNNNNNNNNNNNNNNNNNNNNNNNNNNNNNNNNNNNNNNNNNNNNNNNNNNNNNNNNNNNNNNNNNNNNNNNNNNNNNNNNNNNNNNNNNNNNNNNNNNNNNNNNNNNNNNNNNNNNNNNNNNNNNNNNNNNNNNNNNNNNNNNNNNNNNNNNNNNNNNNNNNNNNNNNNNNNNNNNNNNNNNNNNNNNNNNNNNNNNNNNNNNNNNNNNNNNNNNNNNNNNNNNNNNNNNNNNNNNNNNNNNNNNNNNNNNNNNNNNNNNNNNNNNNNNNNNNNNNNNNNNNNNNNNNNNNNNNUUUCAGUUUCAAGUUCUCAGCCGGAAGAUUUCUUGCAGCAAGAAGCCCUAGAUGGCGCAAUGAGCACGAAAAGUUCUCUUAAGGAUGAAGAUUAGUCUUCACAAGCCUUCGGCCGCAACCCACCUUCUUCAGGUUUUGAGGCCGAAGAAGAAGAUGAAGAAGUGAAGCAGAAAGAUCGCAAAGGCCGCAACGAAUGGUCGCCGGAGAUGCGCAAGACUCAAGUGUAAGAGGGUUCUCUCUCUGUCUGCUCUCAGUUCGCGCAAAGUGAGGAGACUGAUGAAACAGUCCACUUCAAAAGUAUCUCUCUUGUAGAGACAGACGGACUAUCUUUGGCAAAGGAAGCCAUAUAAUUAGGCAAACCAUGAAGAAUAAAAGUCAAGCAAGCAGCCACCUGUACGAAUAUAGCUAGCGAAUUUGCAGAUGUGCUUCGUUUCACUUAAUGUAGGGUAGGCAAGGGCAGGGAAGUAAACAGCAGCAAAGAGGGCUCAGACGAGGUGAGUGGCGGGCUUCUUUAAAGCUUCUUCUGGACUGCGACAGGGGGACCCAUUGUCCCCGUACCUUUGAACUCUGGUUAUGGAAGGUUUCACAGCUCUCAUGGAGUAUGCCUCUCUGUGUAAACAGAUAAAACCGAUGAAUAAUGGUGGCCCGUUCAGCAUCUCGCACCUAAUAUUUGCUGACGACCUUCUGGUCUUCACAAAUGGAGAUGAUAGAUCACUGAAAUAACCAGAGAAAGUCUAAAAGGGUCAAGCUGGUAUGAAAGUCAGUGUGGAAAAACUCCAAUUUGACUUGGGAGGUAACAUGAAUGGUAGAAGAAUUAGAUCGAGACUGCACAAGGAAUUUACCCAUCAGGUACAACGGCCUACCUCUCUUCUCUUCCCGUUUGAAAGCGUCCCUUUUCCAAUCCCUGUCAAAGUCAAGAUUUCUGGCUGGACAGGCAAACUCUUAUCCUUUGCGGGUCGGUUUAAGCUUAUCAAGUGGGUCCUCCAUGCAUAUCAGAUGUAUUGGUUGGCUGCGGUUUUUUCUUCCGGUGAUAGAAAAGAUGAUGAUUGUGGAAUGGUGCCAAUCCGAAGCAAGGUUAUAUGACUGUUAGCUGGACUAAGAUCUGUACCACCAAGCAAGGAGGAGGGCGGCCAAGACUUGCUCAUGGAUGAAAGCAAAACCGGGCUGGCAUAAACAGAACUCGGAUGGGGCUCUUUCAGAUAGCGGUGCAGGUAUGGGUAUCGUCAUCAGAGAUGCCAAUGGCUCCUGGAUCAAAAGCAAAUCCUUCCAUUGCGGGAAAGAAGAUAUCCUACAUAUCGAACUCGGUGCUAUCCGAAAGAGGAAUUGGCCAUCAACCUAGGAUUUUCGAGGCUCUGGAUCGAAGCGGACUCCCUUUUGGCUGUCGUGUGCGCAGAUCUCUUGUCUGCCCUUGGUUGUCCCCAUAAUUCAUGUGACAUUUUUAGACCAUAAAUACUGUAUAUGUGGGAAGUAGCACUUCUGUAUGCAACACAAAGCCAAUCAUCUAACUCUACAUGCAUAAAUCAGAUUAGAAAGGCAAUAGCUUUUCUUUCAUUUUAAAAAAGCUCAAAGAAUAAAUUGUUUUAAAUUCUUACGGGCUUGAACAUUGUCUCAAAGUUAUCUAAUUCUUAAAUUCAUACUUUCUCAGCACCAAGCUUCCACAUUUUGAAACUUUCCAACACACAGGGAAGGCAUCCAUAAAUAUCAAGCAGUAGCAUCUAUAUAAUCCAACGAAUUUGAUUAGUUUAAAUACAUUUCGAGGAAAACCAUUUUUUGUAGAAAGUAGUCAAGAAUUGGUACAACAGGCCUUUAUUCACUAUCUAACCUUAGAAAAAUGAAAGAAGCAUCAGUAAGGGCUUCAAAUAUAAAAGAAGUAUAAGGCUUAAAAUAAUUAUAAGACCCUAAUUGUCAACAAAUAAGCAAAUCGAUCCCAUCGAAACUAAUGAAAAUCCCACAAAAGAAUCUUAGAAAAGAACAAAUCCAAUCAGGGAAAUAAAAAACAAAAAAACAGUAAACAAUGAGUAAAAGUAAAAGAUACACAAAGAGUAAUAUUUCUAGUAAUUGUAUAGAGGCAAAAAAAAAUUUUUAUCCAACAGAUGUCUUCCAAGCGGGUUAGAGACCAAUCAGAUUGACUGAAGAGAAUUCAGGAUCCUUGGUCAUACCAGGAUGCCUUCCUAUGGUCCACUCCCCCCUUUGCCUGCUUUGAUUAGGACUUUGCCCUGGGAAGAGCUCAUCGGGGAAGAACUAAAAAAAGCAAAUUUCAGUCGAAGUCAAUCGAAUUCGCUCCCACUCCUGGCUUCCAAGGUAUAGCCUGGACCUCUGCCUCGACAUUAUCAAUCAAAGAAAGAAUCUACUUCCGAGCGGGUUAGAGACCAAUCAGAUUGAGUUCACCCAAAGGUGAAAGAUAGUUAAACCUUCAGUACGUGUGCUAGGACUAAGUUGGAUUUGAUUUAUAUUAAACUUUAAUUAUAUGUACCAGAGUCUAAGCGGGUUUAAUUGAAAUUAACUGAAAUCUAACUAUGUGUAUUAGAGUCCAAUUAGAUUUGAGUUCACUCUAAGGUGAAAGAUGGCUAAGUAAUAAAUAUAUGUGUUAGUACAUAGUUGAAUUUGAUUUACAUUGAGCUCUGAAUAGAUGCAUCAAAGUCUAAUCUGCUUUCAUUGAACUAUAACUAUAAAUAUAUGUUUUAGAGUUCAGUAUGAUUUGGUUUGACUUGAGUUCCAUGAGAAGGCGCCACACAUAAUCUAUAUUCUGAUGGCAUUCAAGAGAUAGUCAUCAUAGUACGGGAAAAAAAUUAGAUGCAGUCAAAGUAAGCAAGUAAUAUUAGCAAAAUAACAAUGAAUCGCGAAGCAAUGCAGACCAUGAAAAGGCACCAAACAUAAUCUAAAUUCUCAGGGCAUUCAAGAGAUAGUCAGCAUAGCAUGGACAAAAAAUAGGCGCAGUCAACAACUCGAGAAAUAACAAUUCAAGAGGGAGUCAUCAUAGCAUGGACAAAAAUAGUCGAAGGGAAAGUGCCCGAGAAACGACAAAACAUUUAUAUAAACCAAUCAAGAAGGGUUGGGUCUCUAUCAAUUAUCGAAAGCUGAAACGUACUUGCACACAAAACUAUAUGAAAAUAAGUAAAUGCCUAUAUGAAAAUAUCACAUUAGUCAAGUAAAUUGUUAAGUAAAAUAUGUGACAUGAACACUGGGGAACAUGUAAAUGCCUAUAUGAAAAUAUCACAUUAGUCAAGUAAAUAGUCUCUUUGACAUAAGAAUAAUCUCCCCAAUGUGUUUUUAUAGUGCAAGAAAUCAAUUCUCCUAUACAUGGUUAAACUAUGCACCAAUAGAGGAUAAACCAUUAAUAUCAAAAAUAUAAUUUCGCAUCGUCAUCAUACAGAUACCUAUCUCAAUCUGAGCCUGUUUAGCUUGAUCGGAACAAAUUGAACUUGUCUAACAUACUCCCUUGGAGGAACAAAUCAGCUUAAUCAAUUAAAAACAAUGCCACAGAACAAAUCAUUAUGAAUAUGUCAGUUUAUUGAUGAUGUACAAAUUGAAAUAACUUGAUCAGAUUUACAUUAUCAUAAGUUGCAUUAUGAAUUUCAUUCCUAAUCAAUAGUUGCACUAUCAAAACUCACCUUGACCAAGCUUAAACUUUGACGGCGUCCCAUGAUUACGGGUUGAGUUGAACUUGGUCCCGUCAAUAAGUGUCCGAGUGUAAUGCACUGCAAAAUUAAUCAACACUCAAAAUCAGGCAAAACAAACACCAAUUGAUCAGACUAUUUUUGAUAUCUUCCAUCCAAAUCAAUUAGGAAUGCAACCUUUUUUCGGGAAAGGAAAAAGUUAAGAACAGUAGGAAAAAGAAACAGAAAGGAAUAAAGAAAAAAGGAAAAAAUUAAGCAGUCUUGACGAAAAGCCCAAAAAGGUCAGGCUCAGUUAAGUCGGCAAAAAAUGCUCAUAAGCACAGGAUAGUAAUAGGACCAAUAGAUUACCAUAGGAGGAACGUGUGUGGAACGACGAAGGAUAAGAACAAUAGGAAGCGGUUGCCUAUGAAUAGGCCGUCCAAACUUCUGCUUGUUCAAAGCCAUCAUUUUCCACGUUUUCCUCUACUUAUCAUCACUGCCUCAAAGAAGAGAUACAAAAUAGCAAGAAACAAAAAGGAAUGAAGGAAACCAAGUAGAAUUAGUAAAACAACAAUGUAUCGAAGCAGUCAAGUCCAUCCAAAGCUACCACAUUUAAUCCCAAACAAAGACAGGAAUAGCAUAUUUGAGUACAACCAAUUAUCUGUAAAACUGAGUCUAUCCAAAGCUACUACAUUUAAUCCCAAACAAAGAUACGAAUACCAAAUUUCAGUACAAAGAAACAUCUUUAAAACUGUUUUCUCACAAAUUAUUCAAUAACCAAUCAGAAAUAAAAUAUCAGAGGAUCAUAUUUGGCUACUAACUAAACAUGAAGUGACCCAAUGUCACACCUCGUGCAAGUAAAGAAUGUAAAAAAAGAGAACUGUUGGCAAAUUUUCAAUUGCCUUCCGACAUUCUAUGUCCCUAACUCUGUUACAAUACAAAUCUUCUUUAAAUUCCAUAGUCAUUUGACUUUGAGCUCUAUAGACUAUGCAUUUGAUUGAGUAUUGCUAUAAACUUUCUUGGUAGUUAGAAUACAAUUUCAAAGCCAAAGAUGCGCAAUUUGAAUCCAUUUGAUUGAGUAUUGCUAUAAACUGUCUUGGUAGUUAGAAUACAAUUUCAAAGUACUUGAAACAAAGUGUUGAUCAUCCUCAACAGAAAGAAUGAAUACACAAUUCAUUGGUUCUAAUAGGUUGAGCCAUAUAUUUCGAAGUACAAAAGCAACUUGAUACAUGGUUUAUGCUCGGUUUUGCUUCUAUGUUAUUAUAGGUACCAAGAGCUAAUGAAAGAAAGUUCAAAGCUUCCAUUGUUUAAACUGAACAAACUUAAUGCAUCAUUACCUGUACCUUCGAUACCAAGGAGCUCUGUAGUUCUUUUCAUUAUGGGUGCAAGUGAUGACUUCAUAGUCGCCAAGAAGGUCGGGCCCCUCUCAAUUAUCGCAAUCAUUUCACAUUCAAGGAAAGGUGCAUUGUAGUUUGGGAUAAAAACAGGUGGAAGCUCAAUUGUUGCAAUCAUGUAACAUUCAAGGUAAGGACUAUGAAGAAAAACAAAGAGCCGACAGCCAGCAAGAAGGCAUAGGGAACCUGCAGAAAUCGAAAACAGGGACUUGCGGAUUCCACGGCAUAUAAUUUUUUUGCUUCUAAAAUCAGGGCGAAGGAAAAGCAAAAGAAUAGAGUUUUUUCUAUAGAACACCUCAAAACAAUGAUGUAAAAUAACCAAGUCUUGAAAGGUUGCUAAAACAAAAAGGGAAAAAGAAAUCGAAUGCAGGUAAAAGCAAGUCGAAAACAAAGAGAUUUGACAAAUCAAAGCCAAAGAUGCAGUUUGGGGAAAUCCCAAUAGUUUAAAAAAACAUGAAACCAAUAUUUACAAAGAAGAGAAGAGUAAAGAGGAGCAGCAAACAUGGGUAUGUAUGGAAAUAAAUAAAUAAUUUUUGCUCAGACACCCCUAGUUAUCAAGCAUUAUCAGAUUGGCAGUAAAGCCUUCCUGAUUAAUAGUGCCGACCGAGCUAGAAACCAUGCGCACGCCGAAACCAUUCUUAGCACAAAUGAGAACAACUGGUUGCUUAAGAACUAAGCCAUCCAAAGUGCUCUCAUUACCAAUCAAGAAAGCGCAGGCCUUUCUCAAUUAUCGCGACUAUCUGAUAUUGGGAAGGUCAUCAUCGCACGGGAGGAAAACGGGGAAGACAAAGUCUCGGGGAAUAGAAGAGUCAAAUUCUUAUCACAUUCAGGUGAAAGCAAAGUAACCCACAACUGACAAAACAUUGCUAUAAACUACACAGGAUCGAACUAUAGUUCUUCCCCCCCUGUUUACUUUUGUCUGGACUUCUUUGGGACCCCAAAUCUGAAAUUGGAAAAGGCCCCUCCUCAAACCGUUGCACUUAACCAGCACAUCUAAUAUAUAUCUAUUUUUUUAUAAACCAUGCUGAAGGAAAGGAGAAAGGAGGAGCCUGCGGAUUCCAGGGCACUUUUUUUUCUCUUUUUUUUUUAAAAACCAUGCUGCAGGAAAGGGGAAAGGAAAGAGUUUUAUCUAGAGUUGCUAAUUUAUACCUCUAUUUACAUGAUCAGACAUAUAUAUAUGUAAAGGAAUAACAUUUACCACCAUCCCCAGCGCCGCACCCCACCUCUCCGAUGCCCGCGAAGCGCCCUGCAAUCGCCUCGGCAUUUCAUCGAACAGGGCGCGAGCGCUCGGGAGAGGGCGUGGGGGCCUGCGAGCUCCUCCGAUCGAUCGCGUGAUGGCGAGGGGGAGGAGGAGAAGAAGAUCCUUGCAGAUCGGAAAGAGAUAUGAGAGAGUUCGGCGUGGAUCUGCAGGACCUCCGCGCCCUGCGGGGCAACAGGAGAAGAAGGCGGAGAGAGGGGCGCGCGAGAAAAGGUAUGAUGAAGCGUAGAGAGAGAUCGAAGAGGCGGAGGAAGGAUCGAAGAGGCGGAUCGAAGAGGCGGAGGUUGUGGGGGAGGGUUCGAAGAGGCGGGGCAGGGAUCGAAGCGGCUGAGUCGGGGAAGGAUUGAAGCGACGGAUGUAUUGGAUGGGCCCCACCCACUAAUUAAUUAAUAAAAUAUUUUAAGAUGACAUGUAGGGACCACCAAAGUUGAAUUAGCCUAAUGUUGCCACGUGGACAAAAAAUUAGGGAGAUUAAUAGAGGUUAUAGAUGUCCCCAAUCAAUGGUCUAUGGUGCACCGGGUGUACCGAGUAGUUGAGUCGGACCCAUGUCAAUAAAAGAAGAAUACCCCACGCACUUUAGUAUAUAGUAAUAGAUAAUAGAUAAUAGAUUAAAUUAAAUUAUAAACUUUUUUUUAACAAAGUGAAGUUUAUAAAUAGUUUGGUUAAAAUAUUGCAAUUUUAGACAUAGGAGCAGCAUGAAAAUUAAAGAGCCUACCAAAAUUAUAACUGAAUAUUAAAUAAAAGGGGUAAUUGUUUAUAUAUUCCUGAAAAAUUUUCGACUUUUUUAUUUACUCCGCUUAGAAGGUUAAUAUUAAAAAUAUCCUUUCAACAUUCUAAGCUUUUUCAAAUUUACUUUUAGAGUUAGAUUCUAUUAGUGAACUGUUAGGAACAACCGAUAUUUUUGUAAAAUUAUUAUUUUGUCCUUUCAAAUAUCAUUUCUACCGUCACCAACUUUUCUUAUUUGUCAUUAAGUUAGAGGCAAAAAGAAGUAUUUUGACUUCUUCCUUUCAAAUAUAUUCUUCUACUAUCACCAACUUUUCUUAUUUACUGUUAAGUUAGGAAAAAAAAGAUAUUUUGACAUUGUUUUUAACUUUGAUAGAAAUUUAACUGAUAUUUGAUCCGAGAUGAUUUAACGGGUACUAACAACAAGAAUAUUUAAUAAAUAACAUUUAAUAAAUAACGGAGAAAUAUACUAAGGGUAUAUUUGAUACAAAAAAAAAAAGUAAAUCAAAUAUUUCAAAAGUAUUGAGGGGUACUAGACAAUUAUCUCUAAAUAAAAAAAAUCUAACGGCAUAUAUGAUUUCUUUUUUGAAAGAAUGCCAGAAAGAUUUUCAUUGAUCAGUAAACAAGCACAGAAUAACAAUAUGUCGGAUUGUUGAAGCUAAUCAUUAAUCUCAAAAGGUCGAACUGUUAAAAAGAUACAACCAAUUCACUUAAAAUGUACAAACACAGUGCCCAUGAGGCAGGAUGCUAGCCUCUUUUAAGCCAAGACAAUAAAAACAUUACAAACGGACUCAAAUUUUUGGUCAAGAUUCUACUUAAGAAGAGCAAGUGGUCCAGAAGUAAAUCAACCAAUGGACCGGACGAAAAAUGUCUGGUUUUCUCUCUAAGCCAGAUAUUCACAAAGUAAUCUGAUAGGAUAAUUAGAUGUUUUUGAAUUAAUGCUCCUUUUGUUUUCAAGACAUAUAUUUUAUAAUUUUUUUAGAAUAGUAAAAUAUAAAUACUAAAAGAUGCGGAAAAUAUUAAACGAGUCUAAAUCAACAGUAAAUAUUUGAUUUUCUUAUAUAAAUCAACAAUAAUAAAUAUUAUAUGAUGAUACCCUCGUCACACAGAGGCCUCCUAUACCUUAUCAAAUAAUUUAAUAGGUCCCUCCUUUAAGGGAAGUUACAAAUUACAUAACUGUAUUGUUUAAGUGUCUGUUAAAAAAAGAACAAAAAAAAAAGACAAAAGUUGAAAGGGUCUCAAACUCUCUGUACUUUUUUUUUUUUCAUUUUUAAAUAAUUUGGGACCGUAGCCCGGUCCGGAGCCCACUAAAUUGGCUUGGGCUAAGUUUGAGCUUAAAAUGGCCCGGACCAGUUCCACCCCUAACGAAGAUAAGGGCCUAUUUGGCCUAGAUUUUGAAAAAGUAAUUUUUAUAAAAUUGAUUCUGAUUUGGAGAAUUAUUUUUGGUUUAUAUCUAACAUAAUUGAUUAUUGAUUUGGCUAUUUUCAUCAGCGAAAAUAAUAUAGUAAAAGUAUGAAGACGUCCGUACUAAUAACAAUGAAAUAGUUAAGGCUACAAAACUUUGACUAAUAUUUUUGACCAAUUCCUGCUNCUAAAAAUAUCAAUUAUAACAAUUAAUAUAUAUUGAACUAUUAUAAAAAAUAUCAAUCACAACUCGCAACAAAAUUCAAAAAUUUUAAAUACAUACAUAUGGAAAGAUUUUAAAUACAUACAUUCGGGGCGGAUCAUGGCGAGGUGGAUAAAAAAUUUUUUCGUUUCCUGCCCCGAAUCCGUCACGGAUCAUAAAAAUUGCCUCGUUUUCUGCACCGAAUUCAAUUAUUUCCUUCCGUUUACUGCCCCAUUCGGGACGGAUCGAGACGGGAGCUCCACCACCCCGGAUCCAUUUGCAUCCCUAGUUGGGUUGCUCCACGACGUUACAUACAUUGCCCAAGAAAAGUAAAGGGCAGAAGAGUCUUUGUCUUUUUUCAUUUUCGGGAAAGCCCAACUCCCAAGGAAAGUAUAAGUGAUGUAAAAUGUCUCUAAAAGUCAUUUUCAAGUGAUUAAUUUCUAGAGAAACUCGCACACUUUUCUUUCAAUUUUAAAACUAAAUUUAAAAUUUUUAAAUCAAAAUUUAAUAUUUAAAUUUAAAUUUAAAAUUUAAUAGUUAAUAUUUAUUAUUCGGAAUUUAUAAUUUAAAUUUUGAAAUUUUAUUAUUUGAAAUUUAAUAUGAAAAUUUAAGAUCUAAAUUCAAAAGUCAAAAAUUCAAAACUGAAAUUAAAGAAUUUAAAUGUUGAAUUGAAAAAAUUUAAAAUUUGUAAUUUGAAAAUUAAGAUGUAUAAUUCUAAUCUUUUAAGUUUUAAAAUAUUAAAAUUUUUAAAUUUCAAAUUUUAAAAUUUGAAAUUUAACUUUUACUUUGAAUUUUAAGAUUUGACGUUUGAAAAUUAAAAUUUGAAACUCAAAAUUUGAGAUCCAAAUUUUAUAUUUUGAUUUUAAAAUUUGAAAUUUUAAAGGAAAUUUUCAAACCUUAAAAUUUAGAUAUAAAAUUUAAGAUUUAAAACUAAUAUUUGAAUAUAAAUUUAAAAUUUAAACCUUUANCAUGUUGGGAAUAAAAAUAGAAUAGACAAAUAGUAUACUUUAUAAGUGAUCAACUAGCCCCUUCCGCCUUUCCUGCUUGCCCUUGUUAAUGCCUUGCGACUUGCCUUGAAAAAGCUUAACAUGGAAAAAAAGCCCUAUCCUUUUACCCUGGAAAAAUACUCAAUCAAUGGUGUUACUAUUUCGUAGGUAUAGCCACUGGAAAGGGCACUGGGAUAAAGGGGAAAUAUGAUAUUGAGGGCUUCCUAGUUGUCUAUUGCUCCUGGAAUCUCACUAUUGGCUUGCCUGGACCCUCUUGGUUUGCUUGGAGAAGCACUAGAACUACAUGGGGUUACCAUAUGCCCUUUUUUCUUUUCAUGACUCGGAGCUAACAUAACACUUUAACUAGAUGGCACUCCAACUGACACUGCAACUCAAAGCUACGGGAGGGCAGAACCAAUGUAACUGGCUUAGGGGGCACUCGAACUCGAGAGAAGCUAAACGCUCGGCUGGAUCAUAUUGUCUCGUAUGGACUGCUCCUAUUGAGACUGCUACAAGAGAGAAUGGAACUACAUGUAAAGAAACUCCCACUGGCUCGUAAGCAUCGGGGACUGCGGGGAAUUAAACUACUGCUACAAGGAAUACUGGGCCUUAGUCCUUCUCUUCUUUUAAACCUAUUCACUCGUAUCCCUAUCCAAAACGACAUGGAAGCACUUAGAACUGGAAUAUAAGUAUGAGUAUGCUAUGGGGCUAUUGACUAAGGGAUCUUAGAUAGGCUAUUGAUUAUCCCGCUUUCAAACUGGUUGUCCUAAAGGACAGGAGGAACUCUUUAACAUAUUAAUUAGUCUGGGGUGUACACUGAAAUGCCUUAGCCAAAGUAAACCACUCCUUAUGUAUACGAACAUUGGCUUGCAACUGCCAUUCUUUCUCGAUCGAAGGCAGAAGCAAUUGAAAAGAGAGAAGCAAAUGAUGAACUGGCUGGAAAAGAGCUCCCAGAGUAGAACUCGAAAUGAAAGUGGGCCUUUAACUGGCACUCCCGCUGUAAUUGGCUGGCCAGGAAAGUUCACUCGCUUAUUUACUUACGUUCUUAUUGAAGAAAGGAAAUUAAGAAAUAGCUACUAUUGAUACUGUAGUGGGACUGAGACUUAAAACAAAUAUACCUAUUAAGAGGUGGAACUGCUAGGCCUAGUACUUCCUAUUGCUGGUAUUCCAGGUGAACUUAUUCAAUACUCUAUGGUAGAAAUAGGAGAAACAUAUUCUAUUACUUAAUAAAGGGGAGAAACAAUUAGCUAUGAACUCAUCUCCUACACUGGGUCUAUGGGAACUAGGACUGAAAUUAUAUGGAUGGCUUUCGAGCCUGGAAAAUAACUGGCUUUUUCACAAGAUUGGUGAAACUGCUUUUAUCACUGGCUUUCCUCUUCUACUGAUUUAUAUUUCCUCCCGCUUUCUUCUUUUACGGAUAUUUCCCUUAGCUUUUUACCUAACCAGCCUUCAUCGAUACGAUACCCUGGCUUGCUUCUUUGCCUGCCUUGACUGUCGAAAUUAGCUUCCCUUAUUGAGAGCUCCCCAGCAAUAGAAUAUGACGAUACUCAUGCUCUGCUUGAACACUUGCCUGAUGGCUUUCAAAAUAGUUAUGGAUUGAAAAAGGGUAAAGAAACUGAAACUCAAAAGCAAACAAAGGAUUAGCAAUGGCUGGAAUAGAACUCCCAGAGAGAAGGCCAAAAACUGGCGCUUGGCUGGAAGGAAUUAGAUUAUGACUGGCCUCACCCUAUUUAUUUAUUUAUUGGCUCAUCUGGAUCGGUAACCUCGGGAAACCCGGGAGAACUCUUAUUGGGAGAACUUCAAGUGUUUAACUCCAAGCCCGACAUAUAAAAGCUAUAUUCAAGCCCCAGCCCUGUUUACUCCUGCUCAUUUAAAAUAUUCCUUACUGCUUGCCUUGAGAGAAACUCCUGCUGAAAAGGGAAUGCUUUCAUUUACUUAUGAUCUUGCUGGAUUAAAAAAGACUCCAACAGGAACUGAAAUUGAUAUAUAUAUAUAUAUAUAUAUAUGCAUUAAACUGCAUCAAAAUUAGCGAUAGAGACAUUGAUUGAAACAAUUAAAUGUGCUAAGUUGCACGUGCUGAACUUUGCCAAUGAACCACGUUCUACGUUUUACCACCCACCACGAAAACGAAAAAAAUUUGGGCCUGGGCCUCAUGGGCCUCACUUGGAGCCAUGGCCCAUUCCAAGUAGAGCGGGUUGAGUCGUUCGUAGUUCGAAGUUCGAACUCGGUUUUUUAACAUAUACCCUAAAAUUUGUGUCCGCGCCCACCUCUUCUCCUCCCUGGCUCCUCCCGGAGUACAUCAAAACCCUAGCUUCGAUCCUGAUUGUUGAGAUUCCUCUAGGGUUUGGAACCCGAAAUUGGUGAUGGAAGAGGACGAAGGAGAGACCGUUUCUGUUUCGGAGGUCGCCCCAGCUUUGAUCGCCGUACAUCCUCUCGAGAAUUCCGUUGCUGUCGCCGUGGGAUCCGGGGUAAGGCGGAUUGAACUACUGAAUAAGAGAAGCAUUGGGAUUUCCUUGAUUAUAGGGUACUAUCUCAUUGCGGAAGCAGAAGGGAAUCCUUCGAAAGGCAAACCAACGAGGAAGCAUGAAAGGAUCAGAGAAAGAUGUCUUCCUCGGGAAGAAAGCGCGAGCUCUUCAAUCAGUGAGCAUACCUCAUGGGAAUGCAGGUCUUGUUGCAGCACGGGCGUAAAAAGACAUCAUUGAUAACAACUCACUCUCGUUAAGCUCUUACGGUUCAAGGAAGGGAGACCGUCAAGGACAAGGCCAGUGACAAGUCAGGGGCAGGAAAUUCUACUAUAAUACGAGAUCUGUCAAGAAAAAACGGCAACAUAAAUAGUUCAGUCUGUGCCAUCUUAAAGUACAAUGCCAAUAGAGUCAACGAAUCGGAUUGAAAUCAGUGUGAAGAAGAGGGACUAAUCAAGCACAGCAAAAUAGUAGUCAUGUCCACAAGGAAAGGAAUUAUUUUCACCCCCUAUCUAUAUUAUGGGUCUGUACUACUCUAGGAGGUACUAUUGGCAGAGGGGAAGCGCCACUUAGAGACUUUGAAUCUGAAGGAGGGCAGUCGGCCCUAAAGGUAAGAAGGUCUUUGUUUAAGUUCUAAAGUAAUGAUUCAAUCCCACACCUAUUGGAAUCCUCGUGUUGGACACGACGAACCACGCGGAAUAAAGGAAAGCGGGAACUGAACUGAGAACGUUUCGCUGUGAGUCUCCGAACAGCCCGACCCACAUCGCUUCUCUAGAUUAGUGUACUUCCUAAGGUUGGGCAUUUGGCUGAGCCUCUCUCCCUCACCAAUGUGAAUGAAAGGGCACCACAUACAUCUCGACUAGUUUAGUUCGUGCCUGCGGAGCGAACUAAAACCUAUUUUGAAUUCCGGACUCCGAAGUUAGGAUAUUUGGUUGCUUGCUUUGUACUCGACCCAUGUGGUUCGGCUUGUUGCGCCACCUCACUUAACCAAACAUAUCCGAGAAUCAGUUCUACCUGAUCUACACAGCACUUGCUGCUUCAUCCCCGGUUGCAUCUUACUCUGCUGGUCCACCUUCUAAACUGGUCUCCGCACCUGAGACACAUCCGUCUCCUGUUGCUUAUUCUUUUUCCUAUAUUGUGGUGGCUUAUUCGGCGAGUUGGAGCUCCUACUGUUCCCGCGCCAGCUUCAACUCUUGCUCCCGAUUCGGCUCGUGCAACCAGGUGCGGGGCGGCGAUCACUUCGAGAGCUGCACAAGGUAUAUUUUGCACUCUUUAUUUAAGAAUAUUGCCCCCCUAUGUAUGUAUGGCGGUGGAAUUACGAUAGGUAGAGUGCCUCUAUACGGGAAGGUAACCCGUAGAGUGCUGCUUUCUUUGUGGUAAAGCCACAUGAUUGUGAUUAUUAAAGAGUUAGGAUUGAACCUACGACCUCCAGUCUCCCUAAGUGGAGUAAAGCUCCCUUCGGCCUCGAAGAUCAUCUGGUUCCAACUCGAAUUUCUAUGUUAAUAGGUUUUGUACUUCUGCAUGUUGGGAAUAAAAAUAGAAUAGACAAAUAGUAUACUUUAUAAGUGAUCAACUAGCCCCUUCCGCCUUUCCUGCUUGCCCUUGUUAAUGCCUUGCGACUUGCCUUGAAAAAGCUUAACAUGGAAAAAAAGCCCUAUCCUUUUACCCUGGAAAAAUACUCAAUCAAUGGUGUUACUAUUUCGUAGGUAUAGCCACUGGAAAGGGCACUGGGAUAAAGGGGAAAUAUGAUAUUGAGGGCUUCCUAGUUGUCUAUUGCUCCUGGAAUCUCACUAUUGGCUUGCCUGGACCCUCUUGGUUUGCUUGGAGAAGCACUAGAACUACAUGGGGUUACCAUAUGCCCUUUUUUCUUUUCAUGACUCGGAGCUAACAUAACACUUUAACUAGAUGGCACUCCAACUGACACUGCAACUCAAAGCUACGGGAGGGCAGAACCAAUGUAACUGGCUUAGGGGGCACUCGAACUCGAGAGAAGCUAAACGCUCGGCUGGAUCAUAUUGUCUCGUAUGGACUGCUCCUAUUGAGACUGCUACAAGAGAGAAUGGAACUACAUGUAAAGAAACUCCCACUGGCUCGUAAGCAUCGGGGACUGCGGGGAAUUAAACUACUGCUACAAGGAAUACUGGGCCUUAGUCCUUCUCUUCUUUUAAACCUAUUCACUCGUAUCCCUAUCCAAAACGACAUGGAAGCACUUAGAACUGGAAUAUAAGUAUGAGUAUGCUAUGGGGCUAUUGACUAAGGGAUCUUAGAUAGGCUAUUGAUUAUCCCGCUUUCAAACUGGUUGUCCUAAAGGACAGGAGGAACUCUUUAACAUAUUAAUUAGUCUGGGGUGUACACUGAAAUGCCUUAGCCAAAGUAAACCACUCCUUAUGUAUACGAACAUUGGCUUGCAACUGCCAUUCUUUCUCGAUCGAAGGCAGAAGCAAUUGAAAAGAGAGAAGCAAAUGAUGAACUGGCUGGAAAAGAGCUCCCAGAGUAGAACUCGAAAUGAAAGUGGGCCUUUAACUGGCACUCCCGCUGUAAUUGGCUGGCCAGGAAAGUUCACUCGCUUAUUUACUUACGUUCUUAUUGAAGAAAGGAAAUUAAGAAAUAGCUACUAUUGAUACUGUAGUGGGACUGAGACUUAAAACAAAUAUACCUAUUAAGAGGUGGAACUGCUAGGCCUAGUACUUCCUAUUGCUGGUAUUCCAGGUGAACUUAUUCAAUACUCUAUGGUAGAAAUAGGAGAAACAUAUUCUAUUACUUAAUAAAGGGGAGAAACAAUUAGCUAUGAACUCAUCUCCUACACUGGGUCUAUGGGAACUAGGACUGAAAUUAUAUGGAUGGCUUUCGAGCCUGGAAAAUAACUGGCUUUUUCACAAGAUUGGUGAAACUGCUUUUAUCACUGGCUUUCCUCUUCUACUGAUUUAUAUUUCCUCCCGCUUUCUUCUUUUACGGAUAUUUCCCUUAGCUUUUUACCUAACCAGCCUUCAUCGAUACGAUACCCUGGCUUGCUUCUUUGCCUGCCUUGACUGUCGAAAUUAGCUUCCCUUAUUGAGAGCUCCCCAGCAAUAGAAUAUGACGAUACUCAUGCUCUGCUUGAACACUUGCCUGAUGGCUUUCAAAAUAGUUAUGGAUUGAAAAAGGGUAAAGAAACUGAAACUCAAAAGCAAACAAAGGAUUAGCAAUGGCUGGAAUAGAACUCCCAGAGAGAAGGCCAAAAACUGGCGCUUGGCUGGAAGGAAUUAGAUUAUGACUGGCCUCACCCUAUUUAUUUAUUUAUUGGCUCAUCUGGAUCGGUAACCUCGGGAAACCCGGGAGAACUCUUAUUGGGAGAACUUCAAGUGUUUAACUCCAAGCCCGACAUAUAAAAGCUAUAUUCAAGCCCCAGCCCUGUUUACUCCUGCUCAUUUAAAAUAUUCCUUACUGCUUGCCUUGAGAGAAACUCCUGCUGAAAAGGGAAUGCUUUCAUUUACUUAUGAUCUUGCUGGAUUAAAAAAGACUCCAACAGGAACUGAAAUUGGAUAGCUGGGAAUGGAAUAAUUAAUUAUGUAAAAAUACAUCUCUCACUUGCUUGUGUACUGGCACUCUCUGGAAAGGCUAUAAACUGACCCUGGGUCGGACUGGGACUUUCUCGCAGGAAAGGCAGAAUGAAACCAUUACGAAGGGAAAGAAAGAGAUACUUCUGUUGGCUUACUGGCUGGAAUGGUAAAGGACUAGUACUAGAAAUCGAUUACCCAGGCUGUAAAGGGCACUGACUCCCCAUAGCUUUCAGGAAAUUAAGGAACAGAGUGACGACCUUUAUAAUAUUAUUUAUAAAUAAAAAGAAUAAGGUAAGCAAAGAGAGGAAAUUCAAGUUCAAGAGACGGAUAGACUUACUCACUGGAAGGAUUGCCUAUACCCUUGCUUCACUAGAUAGGUGCUUUCCACUUACAGAAGAGGUGGAACAAGAUCAGGAUUUUUAAGAACUCCCACAGGAACUGGCUCUAAAGGAGAAGGAAUGGCACUAGGGGGAAGGGCUCGCAAAGCCUUAAGACUGAAAUUCAACCCCCCGAGAAGGCAGAACCAAGGAAACGGCCUGCAGGGGAAUCAGGACAGGUAAGGGAAGAAAGCAAGGCAAGGGAAAUCCCAACGGCUGGAAAGCAACUCGAUUAAAGGACAGGGACUACUGAUACAAUCCCAAAAGGAGGAGAUGCCCUUAGGAAUCCAACUCUCACUCCAACAGAUAAUUCAUCUUACUUAAAGGUUUCUUGCCUGCCCACAUCGAAAGAAAGUCCAACUGAGACUAUAUCUCAAACCCCUCCAAUGGUAACAGACUCGGGGACUACUAUUGCAAUAACAGGGACUGCUGGAAAGGAAAUAGGAUAUGCUGCAACACUGGGCUUGUUCAGGUAAUAUGCUAGUAAAAGAAUAGUGCAGAUAAUAGGUGUACAAGGCUAAUAUGCUAAUUAUUAACGAGUUGUUAUGUUAUACUAAAAUAAUCAAACUGAAAAGAGUUAUUAUGCUCACAUCACAGGGCCGGGCUCAGAGAACUCUGAAGUAGGCUCGAGAGCAAGAAAAGCAACUCCAACAGUAAAAGGUACUCCAAUUGACACUGAAACUGGGCAAACUCCCAAGAAGGGAGAAGGGCUAAUUCUAAGGCUGUCUCAUACUCUAUGUAACUAGGACUGGCACUAUGAACUCCUGCUUUAUAAUGACUUACUUGAUUACUUAGCCUAAGAGAGAGUUAAAAGUAAAGAAACUUAAACUGGAACUCACUCAAAACGAGCAGAAGGGCGAAGGACAGCAAUUGUAAAGAAUAAAGAAUCAAAGGCAGAAGGAAGGACAGAAAGGACAGGGACAAGGAAAACAAUUUAGGAAUACCUAUAGAUUUCCUCCGUAAAUAAAACUGUUUGCUCAGUUGACUAUCCAACUUUUUAAAACAAUCUGAACUUUGCUUUCUAACUAGCUUGCUCAUCAUAUAAUGUUGUCUCCCGGACACUGGCUCGCAUAGACCUAUAUCUAAGGGAACUAGCAAUAGCUGUAGGGGCUUAUCCUGAUCCUGAGACUGCUACUAUUUCUACUGCUACAAGAGAGAAUGUUUCAAUGGCAAUGGCCAGAGAAGCGGUACUUUGAAAAUCAAAAGGGCAAUUAGUACGGCUGACACGAUAGACUAAGAGACUACUUGCUCUCCCGCUGGGAGACAGGCAGAAGCACAUGAUGAUGCCCUUUUUUUCUUCUUCUUCAACUAGAUAGCUGGCAAUUGCCACUGAAACAGCAUCAAUGGUUGGAAGAAUAAAAGCAAUUGGAUAGUACCUUUUUUGCAAUUUCCUAGUAGGUUACAGGCCUGGAAAUAGACUGCAAAAAAGAGACGACUAAUGUACUCGCUUGCGCAUUUUCUUAACUCAUAUAAUUUCAUAAUUUAACUCAUAUAAUAAUGCUUAAUAACGAGCUUGCUUAUUCGCUUUUGCUCACAAAAGAACUGGCUUGCCAAAAGAAAAAGAAGAUUACUUAUCUCAAGGCCCUAGAAUCUGAGAACCUGAAAGAUAACUUGUUUGCUUUUUUUCCCUUUACCUGUGUGUGUCUGCUCACAACCGAAAUGAAUAGAAAACUCGCUGGAAGUGCCUUAAAGCCCAACUUCCCUUGCUUAUGGGACUGUAACCCACCAGUAGUAUAAGUAUAUACUACUACUACUUUAUAUGUAUAUAUCUUAUUAGUACAUUAAUAACCUAAUAACCAUAUAUUAAUAUAUGAACUCAUUAUUGGAUACUAACUAUUAAACUAUUAUUAUAUAAUUAAUUAAUAUAUAUUAAUAUAUAUAUAUAUUAAUUAAUAUAUAAGAACUCAAACUCGUCUGCCAAGGAACGAAGUAGCUCGACUUACAAGAGGCCUUACCAUUUUUCUGCGAUUAGGUGGGCUCAUCUUAAGACUGGAUCUCCCAACGGCUAGCCUAAUAUGUGAGGUGAGGUACUUCAACUGGCAGGUCGAAGGGAUAAAAAAACAAACAAAAAAGGGGCCCUAAAACCUACUUUCGUACUGGAUGGGAAUCUAUGCCUAAGCGCUUGCUCACACUCUUUCUCAAGAAAACUAGCUCGCUGACUUUAGGAGAUAUGUUUACACGCAGGUAACACGCUACAGGAAGUAUGGCAGUAGCAGGGAAUAGUAAAGAAUAACUUUAGUUAUUCUAAAUCCACUCACUUAGAGGUUUCCCUUAUGUCCACAGCACUUUCCUCAAAUACGAAGAAGAUACCCUUUUAUAGAAGUCCUGCAACCCUAUAGUUAUAGUUGCACAAAGAAAGCAAAGCCUAUGAUAAGAGUGCUGCAAAGCGACCAGAAGGAAAAUGCCUUACAGUAGGACUAUAACUCCUAGGUAAAUAAAUCUAAUUAGGCCUACCAUAGAAAGAAAUGUACCUUCCCUGGAAAAAGAAUAUUUACUUAAAUAUUUAUAUAUAAGUAAAGGGCUUAGAUUAGGAUAGGACUUGAAGCGAGUAAGAAUUACACUAGAUAUAGAUAGCCUGGAACUAGAUCUCACACUGGAGAAAGAUAACUCCUAAUGGCACUGGCUCGCUCGAUACAGUCUGGGAAAUCCACUAGGCUCGUGGAAGGUGGGACUAUAAGGGAAUAGGAGUUAAUAAUAGAAAUACUCCCCCGGGCGUUAAACUGUGAUGUAAAAUGCUGUACUUGCCUGCAAGGGAUGAAAUAAGAUAAGGCAUUGUGAUAGCGCGUCGUUUAGGGCUCAUGACUGACCUUACACUGCCUGGAAUGCCUUUGGAAGGGACGGGAGAACCAAGAAAACCGCAUGAAAGGGACCUGACUCUAACUCUCAUGGAUCCCCAAAAAAAAAGUAACUGGAGAACUGCAUCUAAUAUUUUUCCCACUGGAUUUGCACUCCCUAUGAUAUUAGAGUAGUCCUACAUAUAUGGAAAGAAAAUAUAUUCUACAAGAAGCUUACUCCAGCGAUUACAAAAGAGGCUUACUUCAGGUCUUACCCUGACCCCGGCUGGCUUAAAAACUCCAACAGGCUCGGAUCGAAGGCAUAAAGAAUUGAGCGUAAUGUAACAGCCCUCCCAGGGAGAACCAAGGGAACUGCCUUCAAGAGGUAAUGGAGAACCUACUGCAAUUUCCACUCCAACUUAAACUAAACCCCAAAGAAAGAAGAUUAGCCCCUUUCCCCCCCUGAUGGCAGGUCUGGAGAGCUCACUUCGAUGGCAGAUAAAAUUGGACUAGAUGAAAAAUCCAAAUUAACACUUAAAGUAGAUCGAUCCGAACUGGUACUGGUCGAAAUGUAAGAGAACGGAAUUUCACUCCCAGCGAUAACUCCAAAUGGUUCGAAAGCGGAAGUAAAGGCAAGUUUUAAAGCAGUCCUUCAAAAGGAAGAUAGUUAGAAAGCUAGCUUAGAAAAAUUCCUUAGAACUAGGGGGAUAGGCAGAAAGUAAGGGAAAGAGCUAUUAAGAAUAUGUUCAUUAUUCCCCGCCCUCAAAUAGCAAUCCUAAUAAAAAAAAAAAAGUCUAUCCGCAGUGAAAGCUAAAAAGUCAAGCCAGUAUCUUUACUUCUUUCUUCUUUGGAAAGCUUUCAGGCAAGGUAAAUCCAUGAUCCAGUGAUAAAGCCUGAGUAUCAGUAGUUUAUAUAACCCCGUAGAAGAAAGCUUAGUGCUAUGCCCUCUAUUUACAUUAGAGGGGGGUACUCUCUUGGUUAUCUUUCUGUUGCCCUGCCAGUGAGGAGGGAGGAAUCUAGUUCCAUUGCGAGUUCCAGCGAGCCAGUACCUGUCCCCGGGGGUCAUAUUUAUAGAGAGUAGAAGUCCCCCAGUGUAUUGCGCUUACAAAGUUAUUUUCCUUCCUUCCCUGAUAUAAGCAGUUACAUCAGUGCCCUCCCUACCUACGCAGGUCGUCACUGAGUCAGGAGAGACUGUCCAAAAAAGAAUUUCACUAGUGUAAGAGAGUGAUCAAGGCGGGAAGUAUCAUUUCCCAAGAAAAGAAGUAAGUCAGGAAAAAGGGCGGAGUAUGGCUUUCGAGGACUACUGUAAUAUGCGUUCUUUGCAGGAUUACUAGAAUGGGCUUCUAGAGAACUACUCUAACCUUCUUUUUUUUCUUCGGGCCAGUUAUUGAGCAGUUUGAUUUCUCAAGGCAAUGAGCAAGUGGAUUGAAUCCAGUAGUUUACUAAGUGUAAGUGGUGCUUGCCGAUCCAUAAGCAGGCCUAAGGAGUGCCAUAUUAUCCAGUUCCAUUGGUUCUGACUUCCGAUCGCUUUGAGUUUGAGUUUUUUUAGAUGGCGGUCCAGGCGCAAUAGAAAGCUAGCCUCUUUUACAGAAGUGUCAAUUUUUUCUUCGAAAAAUUCUUCAGUGACUGCCUAGUGCCCUUUCCAGUAGAAAAUAUUUCUUGCGAAUAUUUCUGAUAUCUAAAGGUGUAACCAUCUCUUCACUCUUUUGAAGGUUUAACUGCUUUGUGCGCCUUCAAAUCAUAUGAUCAAGCCAGCUCCAGAAUUUUCUUUAUCCUGUAAGGAUAAGAUAAUGGAUAAUAGUCCCCGGUGGGUUAUCCGGUGAAUUUAUUGCUGUCUCUUGUAGGGCUCAUUCUUUACCUGGUAGGGUAUAGGUUCGUUCUAGAUAAGAGAGACUUUUCUUUCCCUAUAUCCUUUGUAGGAUUACUCCAAUGGGCUUUCUUCAUGAAUAUUGCUCUUCUUUCUUUUUUCCUACCUUCGAGAAGGAGAUAACUCGUAUACUAUCCGUUUAUCUCCCUUUUCUAAGGAAGUGCAAAAAAUUGCAUUUCAAUUCCUUCUGGAAAAAAGAAUCUCCUUCGCUUCCCCCCGACGAUUCACUGCUUUAAUGAGGGCCUUCUCUGUGCAUUCAUGUGCAGCAGAUUUUGACACCUAUGAGUGCACAAGCCCUUCUUCUGCCUUUUUACUCUCUCUUCCCCUUUAGGGAAUUGCGGAGUGAAUGAGUGCAACAAAACAAGGAUAGAAGGCUAUAAGCUGCCUACAUGGAAUUCCUCUUCAUGCACACCUCCCAUAAAUAAUUUUUAUAUGGCGAUGAUAAUCAGAUGCUAAGUCUCCCUGGCUUCCUUCCUCCAGCAGAUCUGUGGGCAUUAAAAGAAGAAAGACUUUAAGGCAUAUUCCUUCCUCGCCACAUUCAAGCUUAGGAAAGAAAGGCUCCCGUUCGUGCCCUGUAAGAAGGAAAGUAAGAAAGGAAGGCAUAGUCGAAAAGACUAGCAGCUUCUCUGUGCAUGGAUAUCUAAACUAUUGGAUUAGCGGCAUUGGAUUAGUGGCAUUCUAGUUCUAAAAUACUUUAGCGAAGCGGGAAAGCUGGAAAACAAUCAGGUAAUCAGGAAAGGCAAUCAAGCAUGCGGCCUAAGGACUGGUGCUUUACUAUAAAGAACUCUUAAGGCGACAACAGCUUCUUCUAUUCCUCGUUGGCCUGCAGAAGUCUUAGGGACAUCUAUUAGCGGUUGGCAUUCCCCUAUGCUCGGCUCUUAUUCCUAUAUCUUAAUAUGUCCAUUCAAUCGGAAUGGAUAGAGGAAGGAGUCUGUUGUGCUUUGGCUGUGCCUUAUCUUAGGGCAUCAAUCCAAUUCUGGGCAUCCAUAUAAGACCGCUUAUUCCCUUGCAAAGACAAAGACCGGAUUUGUCUCACCCUCCUCUUCUGGGGAUCUUACCCCUAAGCCGAAGCGCUGGACUGCACUCGAUAAUGCUUCUUCUUCUGUUAGGAAUUCCUAUACUGCUUGUUCAUGUGAACCUACCGAUUCUAAUGGUUUUUGCCUACCCGGCAGGUAAUAGGGAGAAGGACUUCGACUGAGACUCAAGAAACAUCAAGUGCGCUUUCGUCCCCAGAAAGGGAUGCCCCAACUAUUGUAUUCUUUUCUUUCUAUGUGAUUUUAGUUUUCAUUUCUCGUUGGACGAUUCAAAACUCUUUGCUUAGCUAAAAGAUGUUCAACACUAUUGCAUCCAAGGUCAUUCGCUGCUUGGGCCAGCGUUUCCAACUCUCGAAUGAAUACCACAUACCGGGAGCCCCAUCUUGACCUGCGGCUAGCAUCUCAAGGUCCAUGCACAUCCGAGGAGAAGCCAGAUCAAGAUCCUUUUUCAAUUCGUUUGUCGGCAACCCCACUUGCCCAACGAUUCUUAAUAUUGUGAACUCCUAACUCCUAGUACGCCCGCCAUAGCAUCUUGGCAAGAAAAAUUGCACUGUCGAAGUGUCCAUCGCAGGUUCUAACAUCCGAAGCCAGAGUCGUUGCUGAGCUAGAAGCCACAUCCAUAUUCACGUCUUAGCCCUAUAAAGUCAGGGGACCGAUUCCAGAUCCGAAGCAGCAGCAGCCACCGAAGAAGGAGCAGUUUGAAGCAGUAGGAUAUGUUUUGUCUUUCCAUUAUGUACUUCGGGAGCUAGGAGUGGAGAGGAAUCCCAGUAGUGGAACCUAAUCAAUUGACAUCGGGGAUGGAAAAGAACCCGACUCUUCACUCUUAUCAGAUUCUCCUUUCCUUUUCCUUUUUUAGUUCAAACUCGCUGAAGAGCUCUUAAUAUGCUAAUAAUAUGCUAUGCAUAGUAGGUUGAUGGACAGAGACAGAGGUCGACUUGAAUCAUAUGCCUGCUCGUUGCGGAACUCUUUCUUGAUUUCGAUCUAGAAUAGGACAACCACUAGGAUUGAUACUCUUAAGAAAGGGAUGGUUGGGAGGGAUCGAAUUUGUAGGAUGAAAGGCCUACGCGUCUUGGGAUAUUCGUGCGGAUCCAAUGUUGUUAGACGUGGCUCCAAGAGGGACACCGGAGAGUUAUAAAUAUUCUUGUACUUUCCUUUCGUCCGGUCUGCCACUUAUUUGAUUGGUCCUUCAUUCAAGGGGUCCGCUUGAAACAAGUUUUCGCUUGGCCAGCAAGAAAACGGCUGCGCGUUAGCGCAACGGUGGUCAUAGAUCAGCUAGGCGCCCCCUAUAUCUUAAGGGCCUGUUCUCUCUUCAUUCUUUCUUGUGAUCUCCCUUUCUGUUGAUCCAGGAAAGGUUCAAUCAAGGAAGGUGGCAAGCCCUAUGAGGAUGGCUCUAAUAUCCAGAAAUGCUGCUCAAAAGAAGAGUUCCAAACCUCUGAAAGGCGAGAGGCGGAUUCAGAAGAGAAAUGUGAAGAAGAAGGCCAUCUUUACCUUUACCCUUAAAGAAAAUAUGACUUGUUCAUCGUUCAGACUGAUUUUCUUCCUUAGAGUAGAGGGCGUAGUAAAUAGUCACGAUAAGAUGCCAGUCCCUAUUGCUUUUGCUUCGCUUGUGCCGGAUCUGGUAUCUAUUCCUUAUAGCCUAGCCUUCCGACCGACAAGAGCGUGAAUUCAAUGAGGAAUUGAUUGAACUGAUAGCUAUCUGGCCUACCGCGAACGAGUGACUCUCCCCUCUUCGCUGAUCUUUCACCUGCCAUAAAAAAGAAUUGAAUCAGGAAGUGACUUCGCUAGCCCAAGGCUAUAAAUAAGUUAAACAAGAAAAAUGAAAGCUUCUUCAAGAAGUGCUGGAAACGAGCUCAUUUUUUUUAGUUCCAUAUUGGAUUCUAUUUCCUUGCCGAUGUGAUGAUAUUUUUUUUUGUAUAUAUUAUACUCUUUACUUUCAAUGGCAUCUCUAGUUGAACUGAUAGCUAUCUUGCCUCAGCUCAGUUGUUGAAGUUUGAAAAGAGCUACUCCUCUUCCGUUCCGGGGAUCUACGACUCGAUCUCUCUUUCACUCCUUAUGGCAUAUGGUUCAUUUUCAUUUAUCUUACAUCGUCAAAAUCGAAGAGUCAUUCUGAGGAAUGGAAUCAAAGCUUCUGCUUCUCAACCUCCCAAGGGGAAGUAAGGAAGUAUGAGCCUUUUUUCUUUUUCUUCUGAAUCGCCCUGAGCUGAGCUCAAUACUCAAUAGCUAAAUCAAUUCCCUUUCGUCCGGUCGGGGCAUUGACCCCAUGGCCAUGGCUAUUGCGCUUGUGCCGAAAAUGGCAUCGCUGACUCAUGAAAAUGCAACCAAACAAGAUUCUUAUUCUUAACACAUCCAAUUGGAUGUGGGAUGUCCCUAAUUCAACUCACUCUAUUUCUUCUCGCGCGUAUACUGAUUCUUGUUCAGAGCUUAGCCGCACUGAUGAAGUCGAAUGCUCCUUUCGGUUCUUUCACUCUCAAAUCCAUUUUACCCUUGGCCUGUCUCUCGGUCUUUCUCGCCUUUUGCCUGCUAUUUCCUAAUCAAGAAUGGAAUCUGGUCCGGUAAGUUCGUUCGCUACCUUUACUUGACUUGACAGAAUACCGAGAGUGAGGAAAGAGCUUGAGAGCAGACUCAGUAAUAAGUAAGUAAUUUCCCUAUGGGAUUGGAACUACUUCGUAUCUCUUUCCCUUUACCUUCCUUCUUUGCUUCGACCUAGCAGAGUGGAUUCCCUCACUUGCACUUUCUCUCGUCUGAGUUCACUCUGCCUUCUUUCUGGACUCUCGUUCUUAUCGAAGAGUCAGAUCGGUACCUUGAAACGUAAUGGUAGGCCUUGCCCUUUGCUUACUCUAUUGAAUAGAAUGGUAUGCCUAUUCCUAAAAAAAAGACGAGAACGCCCAUCUCUUCAGAAAGAAAGCCCCAUAGUGCCCGUACUCUAGCGCAUAAAAAGUCCUUUCCAUCUACUUUAGUAGUUCAUCUGGCAAAACAAUAUUCUGAUCACUCUCCUAUCUUUCUAUGAUGCUGCUUUUGCAGGCCCGAAGCCUUUUCGUUUUAGCUUUUUUAAAAAAAGCUAAAACAAAAGAUAAUUUCGUUUUCAGCACAUGUGGGUGAGGCACCCAUCUUUUCUUCCAUUAGUGGCCUCUAGUUGGGGUGUGCCUUUGCGUGCUCCUCCUCUUGCUCGUUUGGCUUUUCAACUCAUAAGGCUGAAAAUGACUCUCAAGACUUGGAAUGACAACACCUUUGGCAAUGUGCACUCCAAUCUUUCUCUAGCAGAAAAAGAGGUGGUUCAUCUAGAGCAGCUUUAGACAGCAUCUCCAACGGAGGAGAAUCUGUCCUUACUUGAGCGGGCUAAAGAGAAGCUGGGGGAAGUCUGAUUCAAGGAGGAAAGAUUUUGGCGGCAACAAUCUGGUGUGAAGUGGCUCAAGGAAGGGGAUCGCAAUACUCAGUUUUUCCAUGCAGUGGCUCAAAAGAAUAGGAAACGUCUUUCCAUAAAGUCAAGUCAAUUACUAAUGAUGAUGGUCUUCUUCGUACCUCUUUGAAGGAUAUCCACCAAUAUGCUAUUUCCUAUUAUCUAUUAAGAGUCUCUAUUCCAAUCUGAGGGUUUUACCCUCAAUGAGGAGCUCUUCUCUUUGAUUCCACAAUCCAAAACUUCGGAGCAUAAUGAUUGAUUGAUGAGCCCACCCUCUGAGGAGGAAAUCCGUUCUAAAGUGUUCUCUAUGUCCAGUGAUAGUGCUCCUGGACUAUAUGGCUUUCCAGGUUUCUUCUUUACCACAUGCUGGUCCAUCGUAGGAGAAGAGAUUCUUGCAGCUAUACUUUACUUUUUUGCUGGCAGCACCCUUCCAUGAUCUUAUACUUCUUCUUUUUUUUAUGAUACCUAAGAAGGAGCAGCCACACACACUAUCUUACUUCCGUAAGAUCAGUCUUUGCAACUGAAUAUAAAAGAUUCUAGCUCGCAUCUUCUCUGACAGGUUGGGCACUCUUCUUCCUCAGAUCAUCUCUCCCCUUUUUCAAAGGUCGAAGCAUCAUUGAGAAUGUAGGACUAGCGCAGGAAAUGUUUCAUGACCUCUCAAGAAGAGUUCGUGGGGGUAAUGUCAUCAUCCAACUGGACAUGGCAAAGGCAUACGACAGGUUGGAAUGGGUUGGUUAGCCUGAGAGACCACAUUCACUUGUUCAGAGACCGUGACUCCCUCAGUAGUGAGCCGGCUGGGUGGUCUUCUUGGAGUAUUUUGUUCUGGAUUCAGUCUCUUUGUGUAUUCUCUGAAGGUUCACAGCCUUAGUGUAUAAGUGGUCUAUGGAAUGGCAAUCACUAAUGGCUAAUUCUCUCCUAAUAGGGCCUGUGGCGUUGUUGAUUAGGAUCUGGAUCUCUUGGGCCUCGGUGAGUCGGACAUCGGACCUUGCGGCCAUGGCUCUCCACCUAAGGGCAUAUUCUAUGAAGUCCUCACUAGGUUUCAUCUUUUCGGCCAUGAGGUCGACUAUGGUGGGGACGUAGAGCCUCCUAUGGCUAAAGUGAGCUAGAAAUUUCUGGCACACUAUUGGAAACGAUCGGAGGUCUUCUACAUUGAGGGUGGUGAACCACCUCAGAGCUUCUCCCUCCAAUGACUUCUUGAAGAGAUAGACCAAUAACGAUUCGUCGUGAAGGUAGAGAAUGUACCCGCCGGAGGAGAGGAGAAUCUAACGGUCUUCUACUUUCUUAUUGCAAUUUGUUUCCUCCGGGGGAUGUGUUCUUCACUGGGGGUGGAAUGAGCUGAUACCCCUUCCUCUGUAGUGGGAAUGACUGAAAAGUGAUCUUGAUGAUCCCGAGCUGUCUCUGUCUCUGGGAUCGGUGUGGCAAAAGCUUCUACAGAAGAAAGAAGAAUAUGAGUAAAAUAACAAGUAAUAACUACCUAAUGGUAAUGGUAGAAAAAGGCAAAAUCAAGGAAAUCUCAAUACCUGGUUCAGAAGGGGUGACUUCCCCUUCUUCUUCCUGGACCCGAGUUUCCUUAAAUGAGAACUCGGAGAUUGGCGGUAAUGGUGUCUGAGGCACUGAUGCGGUUUCUGCUUCCAGUUUGGCCUUUUUGUCUCGAGCCGCCUUGGCUACAGUUUGAACUCCGCUCACAACUGGCGGAUGAUCCUUUCUAGCCCGCUUCUGGGGCGCAUCCUCGUCAAACACUUCCUGAGAUAUAGAAAUGGCUUUCACCAGAUCGAGCAGUUUCUCAUAUGUUUCAUCUGUCACUGCACGACGAAAUGAGUCUGUCAGCCUUCAUGACAAGGAAUCAGAGAUAAGCUACAAAGAUAGAAGUUGUACAUCAAGAAGAAUGAAGAGCACUCAAAAUUUUGUCCUUUAUAACUGAUGGGGACCGGCGGAUACUCUAAGGGAUUCACCUUAUCCCUAAUAGCAGCAGACUGAAUGACAUAAACAACAUCAUUGAUUGUUUCGGCACGAUCAACAAGCUUGGAUAAAUCAUAAUGAUGUCUGUCUUGAAGAUGGCAACAGAUGUGAUACGCAUCCAUACCCCAGCCGUCUGCAUAAUGGAAUGAUAAAGGGACUCGGGCCUGCAUCAUCUCUUCAAAGCUGGGAAGUUGCAGUUUCUGAUUCAAAUUUGCAGCCAUCUCAUUGGCUUGGCCGCAAAGGCCUUACGCCUAGAAGCACUGGCCCCUCCGAUCCCGAUUCGAUUGGCCUAUUCAUCACAUCAGCGAAAAGAUAGAUCUGGUUCGGAAGUCCAUAUCAGCUAAUGAACGAAGUCCUGUAGUUGAUGGGUGCAGAUCAAGUUUGACGACGAUGUAUUCGAAUGAUGUUAUGUCAUUGGAUGUAUGUUGGUGCAUCAAGUAGGGUGGACAUGUCAGCGCGGAUGCUACUGCAAGGAAUCAUUGUUUGGCAGGUCUAUGGUGCCGACGUUCUUUUAGGCGGAUGUCAAAGAAUUCGUGCGUUCCAGUGAUGCAUGUCAACGAACUGGCAAAGCAAGGAUAUCGAACCCUGAAAGGAGUUGCGGCUGAGCAGGCAAAGAACUCUUUGAUUUGAGUCAAUGAAUGCCUAAAUACUGGGAGAUUAGCAAGUCCAGUCUUACCUUUUCGAUUUCCUCUAUUUGCGCUUGUCUUUCCGGCCUCACUUGAUCGGGCUGUAUUUCCUGACCUGACUGACCUCUCGGGUUACCACUGGACUGUGAGGGCUGCUUACAGCUCAAAACCAAAGAGGAAUCCUUUGGCCUCAGAGCCGAUGCUUUGACUGCAUUGACCACUUGGUGGGGCUGCUGCUUACCGAAGCCUCUUUGCAGACUUUCUUUUUCAAUCAGGUUGUCCUACUGAUCGGCGAAAGCCCUUUCUUGUGUCUGACCUUUAUCCAAUAUCUUUUCCACCUAAGCCAAAGCAGCCUAAGGGAGUAAGUAGAAUUUGAUCCAGUUCUUUAUCUUUGUCUGUAAACUUUAUCCUGCUUGGCUUUUUCUCGUUUUGGGCACACUGUCUAAACUUCGCAUAGCUAGCGUAUGAUCUAUGGCUUUUUUCUUGUCCCGUAAUUCCUACUAGCACUUGUCCUUGAUUUCCAGUGUGGGGGAGGGGGAGAUUGGGCGGACAAUAGACUGGCUUUUUCUUAACCCUGACUCCCCAGUUCACACUGGGUGAGUGUGCUAUACCAUUUCUGCUGACUGAUUCGUUGACAGUCUCUGGUUGUGCCUUGACUGAAACCUAUCUAUCGAUCAUCACAAAGUUGUCAAUGACUUGACCAAGACCCUUUGAGACAUUGGAAUGAGAGUGGGAGCCCUGAUCUUGAUCGUCUAGUCCGGAGGGAUUCCAUUUCCUGCACUAAGUGAUAGAGAAAGUGAAUUGAGGCUCUCUCCUGGUGGGUGCCCGAGUGGAACAUAGGGACGGGCUGUAAACUCGUAUUUUUUUUUUACCCAUCUUCAAACUUUUGAAAGAGGCCAAUUUGGAUCGGAGAAUUGGUAAUCAAGUCUCGGAUUUUUGGUCCAAUUUUGACUUAUUCCAUGCCUAAAAAACUUCACAAUAUAUUCCCACGUCUAAAGCAAUUACAAAAUGGAAUUCCUUGAUACCGCUUAAGCUUCCCCAAGUUCUCCCCUUUUCUCUAGUCCCUUGAAUCCCACGUUUCAAUGAAUUCGUCUCCCCAUGCACCAUUACUACUUACUACCCUACCAAUUUGAGUACGGCUUUGUUUUCCUUAUUUUCCUGAUUCCUAUUUGGUACUACUUUGUUUGACAGCCAUUCCAUAGCAGUAUUUGUGUCCCUCCCUCAAUUUUGAUUUGUAGCGGCCACGUAGCAUAAUUAUUCAUAUUCCCCUUCACAUUCUCAUCAUCAUCUUUUUUGUCUGGAAUGUUUUUUCCAAAAUGAAAGGGCCUCCAUAUUUCUUUGAAGAAAUUUAUAACAUUCCUCUUUUUGUUCUUAUACCUUUUCCCCCUCACUGCCCUCAUUUUGGUUCUCAUUGAUUUUCCCAUCCUCAUUUUGGAAAGGAAUUAUAGCAAAUUCAAUGAGGGAGAGUAUGUUCCUAUUAUUCUCUUUUCCAAUUUCAUUCUUUCUCACAGACGGUUGACCAAGCCUUAUGAAAAGAAACUUCUAUUUGCGCUCCAUCAAAUUCCGGGAAGGCAUUUCUGAGGAUCCUAGUGGCAAACUAUUUCCUUGCAUUGUUGUUUUUGAUCCCCCCACAUGAAAAUGAUAUCCCUCACUGGGAUGUUGUUCCCAUCAAUGGGUCAAUCCCAUGCCCCACAACUGCGACUAGUGGUGGCUAUCGAACCGAAGAAAGCGAGUCAAGAACGAUCUCAUCCCUUGCUCAGUCAGUAGUCGGUCCAAAGGAAGAGAGUAGGAAGAUUGACGUAGCCGGUUAUAGACACGGAAGGCAGAUAGGAACUGCCCCACCUGCCCCAACUGCACGCGCUUGGCUCAUCGCAUCUCUCAAGCGGGUGGAAAGCCUAGGAGCCGGGAAUCAGACUGAAUCCGAGACAAGAGAUACAUUGAUGGCCUCGGAUAGAUUAGCUCGGAUUGAGCUGUCCCUAUCCCUAUCAGUCGAGUGCGUCUGCCCUCAGCCGGUACGGAGCCAACCCAGCUCCCGUCCCCGCGAGUGAGUUUUGCUGGUCAACAAACAAUAAAGAGAGGGAAAGAAGGGAAUAAGUUAACAUUUCAUGACUUGAUGAUUGUUUCGGAGGUGGGAAGAGAUAAACGAACUGAAAGGGCUUGGUGUAGAAAUUGUUAGAAUGUGAAAUAGAUAGGAGUCGGAAAGGAGUGAUCGAGGACAGGUCAUAACCCAGAGAGAAAGACUGAUUACUUAACUAAGACCAACCCAAGCGAAAGCAUCUCUAUAUUGUUGUUAUUACAAAAAAACUCCCUUAAUGAAGCUCGCAUGCUGCUAGAGGAAGGCGGCUAAGCUUGACUUGUGUUGUGCGAGCGAUGAUGAACGUCUGCCUUGGCAAAGACGAGUGACUUUGACCGCAGCAAAGUACAGACAUAGGCACAUCUUUUCGACCGGGGAAUAGUUUUUCUCCGGUCCUUGCAGGACCCUGCUCAAAUAAGAUCUUGCUUGUUCAUUACCAUCUCUGUUCUUCUGCGAUCAGAAUGCUCCCAACGACUCGUUUAAGGCUGAUGAUAUGUAUAGCCGUAGCGGUUCUCCGGGCCGAGGAGGUAUUAGAACUGGUGCCUCAGAGAGGUCAUUCUUAAUUCGUUGCAAGACUGGGGCGGUCUAAAAAAACUCUUCAUCCUCUGUUGUCUUGAGCAGUAGGGUACUGGAUUUUCCCUGAAAAGUUGGAGCUGGGGAAAUUGAUCUGUCCGAUCAAGCGCCGCAACUCCUUUUUGCUUCUUGAGGGCCUUGAUUGCCCUGGAUUUCUUCUUGUCAAUUUCAACCCCUCAGUUGUGCACUAAGAACUUAAGGAAGUUUCCUGCUGUUACGAAAAAUAUUUUGACGGGUUCAUCUUCAAGCCGUGUUCUCGCGCUCAAACACUGUCUUGAGAUCAGACAGAUGACCCUCUACAGGGAAAGACUGAACAACUACAUCGUAAAUAUACACCACCUCUACGAUGUUUACAAUAAAGUAAUGGAAGAUGAGGUUCAUUGCUCGCUGGUAGGUAACUCUAGCCUUAUUCAGACCGAAGGGCAUCACCUGCCAGCAGAAUAGUCCGUUUGUUUGUCCAACAGCACCCGGACAACGGAACGCUGUUUUUGCCUCGUCCUCUUUGGAGAUGAAAAUAUGGUUAUACCCCAACGUCCAUGAAUGACAGAAUUUUUUGCCCAGCUGCUCUGUCCACUAACAGAUCAGCGAUUGGCAUUGGAUUCUCGUCUGGCAGGUGGGGCAACAUUGAGAUUCCGGAAAUGCAUUCUCUUCUCUCUCCACCAGCCCUUGCUCUGGGCUUUUUGUUGGGGCAAAAAUACGAUAGAUAAAGAUCUAAUACGAACCUUGACGAAGGCUUAUCCCGACGGGCGAGAAAAAGGUAAAGGACGGAACCAAUGCUGUGUGGAAAGAUGCAACGAGGAAACCUCUUCCCGGUCGAAAGCCGUGCAAAGACGUAAGAGGAUACUGCAGCAAAGGAUAUUGAAAGAAAGGUUCAACUAGCUUGACUCGAACCAGCUUUUUUCAAGGUCAAAUAGACGCUUCGGAAAGGAGUGUAUGGGGCGGAUCCUCCUACAAACUAAUAGUGAAAGUUUAUCGGGCAGUCUGUUCUGGACACUUUGUCCUUUAACAAGAAAUUUCUCAGUCUAGUCAGUCCCGCUUUCGUGACCAAUUAGCUACCAUAACGAAGAAAGGAGAAGCAUUAAAGGCAGCCCUGCCCUCGUGUCUAUCCGCUCAGGGAGCCUGUCUUCCGGCAAACUCAGUAGAGUUUCACCAGCUUUGACAUAAGGUAAAAAAGCAUAUGCUAUUGGUUUCACUGACUUUGAAGUCUGAGCGGGGAGUGGGCAAGCCAACCUCUUCCCGUCUUUCUUCAGAAUCCCACCGCCCUCCUUCGCUUCCACUCUCUCUUCCCCUUCACUCUCCUUCUCCGCCCUCCCCUGUGCCAGGCAAGUAUGACUGCCCUCUUCCUCCCAAGGCUAUGGACUAUAAGGAGGCCGCUUCUCUGUCGAUCUCGACUGGGCUUUCCUUGGAAGAUAAUCAACGCAUCGGAAAAGAGUGCGGUAUUAUCUUCCCGGCGAACUUCUUCUCUUCUAACUUGGAGGAACUUGCGAGCUAGCCACUUCGACUGGCUGGUUUUUGUUUCCCUUCUGGAAUGAUGGUCUCCGGGUAGUACUCAAAUGUGCAGAAGUCGGUUUGGACGUUGAUUCCUACUACGAGUUUUCGGUCAGAUGUACAGAGGUGUUGAAGAUGCGCAACACGGUGCGGACGUUCUUCGCCGAGAAAUUAGUUCUUGGAUAAGAGCUGCUCGAGCUUGGAGGUGCACGCUUUUCUCUACGUUGCAUGAGCUGCAUGGGCGCUAGCUUCGAGAUUCCCCGCCCUGUCGCUGAACUGCGUUGGAAUACGUCGGGGUCUUUUAGUUUUGUCGUUUUUUGCCAUGUCUGUUACUUUUUAGGGUCUGGGCGUUGUCUCUCUCUACCUUACUCUACUCUCCCCCCCCUCUGUAUUCUUUCUUUACUAAAGAAUUUUCGGGACCUUCCCGAUCCCGAACUUCAAAAAAUAAAAAGAGAUCCUUUUCAGGCAAUAUCAAAGUGGCAUAUCAAUUUCACUUGUAGAUUGGAAAUAAGCUUAUCAGAAAGAUUGAAAAAGACGAUAAGGUUAUUUCCAUUUCGAUAGCUAGAAGUGGACGACUUAGCUUGACGGCGGGACUACCUAUCGCGAGAAGGGGCUAGAGCGAAAGCGGUUGUUCCUGGAAGGGGAGAAUGCUAAGCUAAGAGUGAAGAUGAGGAUGAAAGACCGAACGAGUUGUAGUGUCCGUGUGUGUCUCUUCUCUUCCACUCCUUGAUGAUCUCUUGGAAUGUGGUAUGGUAAGUACGGUUCUGCUCUUGAUUCAAUGUGGGGCUUCUCGCUUCAAUGGGAUAAUUGUUUGUUUCUAGGUCAUGCCAUCGAUUGCCCAAAUCGUCUACUAAGCUAUUCUUUCUGACCAUAGCUUGCCCUCUUUCGUGCUACAGCGACAGUGAAAUGGCUUAAUGGUUGGUGGUAGCGAACACUGCAACUGACUAGUGAUUGCCCCAAAUAGAGAAAGAAGGGCGGCUCGGCUCAUACUCUUUCCUUCCCAUGCUUUGAUUGUAGUUCGUCACGGGACUUUCCUUCCCCACAAAAGUGCCUUUGUCCCGGGGAGACUAAUCUCGGAUAACAUUCGUUUCACCCAUGAAAUGAAUUCUCUCCUACCUGCACAAGACAUUGAGAAAAGCAGGAGGCAUGUGUAUCAAGCGACAGCAACGAUCGAGAGAAAAAGGGCAAAUGAAUUCCGGAAAAUGAGAAUUAGGGAUGAGAAUGCGGACCGCCUGUAUCUGUCUUGGUUUUCCCUCUGUCAAUUCUUACUCAAUGUUAUGUUAUACGAGGGAAAAAAAGAGUUUCAUCGAAAGAAAGACAUCAGAGACAUAUCUUGAGUUUUGAACUGAGAUUGCAACUGAAAUCUGAUCUACAGCAGGAGUUUGGGCGUUAGCUCUUAAUGGCUUAGCGUGUCCCGUAUUUUUAUUUUCAGUGUCCGGGGCAGCUACUCUCGUCUCUAGUUUAGCACAGAUCUUUUCCGGCAAUGGAAGCUACAGGUCAUCCCCCCGUAGAAAAAAGUAAAUCCCUCUAACCCGGAAGACAAUACUGUUUUAAAGAAAGUUCUUAAAGAGAUAAGUCAACCAAUAACUUGAAGUUUUAGAUAAAAGCCCGUCAUCCUUAUACUCAAAUUGUAGUAUGACUCCUUUCCUUCUCUGUACUCCAUACUAGCAGUAGGCUUGGGAAAGAGAAUUCCUUAUUCUUUAAUGUGAGCAGUCAAGGUAUUGCUCGUCUUCCAAACCUUUCGGGAAAGUAGCAAAUCUUCUUCUUAUUGACUUGGUAGCUGGCUGACGAAGCAGACCUAUUUUGCAGAGUGUCCAGCGGAACAGCAUGACCAAAGGCCGAGACAAGGUAUCGAGUCAAGGAGAAUCCACAGCGCAAUCAGACCUUCAGGCUCUGUUUUCCUCUGCUUCUAAAGCCAGCUUCUUCCAUGGUAAGGUGUCGUCGUCGGCCUCUUACUAUUUGUAUAGGGCCAGUUGCUUAUACAGCAUCUUUUUUUUAUAGUCUUGUUCUCUGUUAACUGGAUCGAGAAAGUCAACUGAAGGUAUUGCCAGAUUAGACUUUUCGCUUCCAACUCGGAACCACUGACAACUUCUCUUUCCUCCGAUCAAUAUGAAAGAGUUCCACUCGCCCUGACUUGUGAACGGAAAGAUUCUUUGAUCUAUCUACUAAGCCCGCAACGGAAAGAGUGAUCCGCGGAAACCAUUGAAAGCAAGCUAGCAACUAAUCCGGAUAUUCCAUCAUGCAACUCAAUCAAGACAAGCUCAUCUUGCUAUUCACGAAAAUCCUGAAUAAACCCCUGUGAAACAUACUCCUAACAGCCGACUCAAACUAUUACUAUAUAUUACAUAUACUAUAUAAUCGAGUUAGUUAUUGUUAUAUACAAUACCGUAUUUCAUUAGUUAAAGAUUGAAAGAAAAUGAAAUUCUAAGAGUUAGCCUUAUCAAAAUGAAAAGAGGCACUCCCAAUUGUGACAGUAGAUUUAAGAUCAAAAGAGUCAAAGUACAACGAAUAGGCAAGAGAAUGGAACCCGCAAAACACUAACGAAAACGUUAGCUCAUGAACCGGCAGGUCACUAGUCGAUAUGAUUGUCCAAAUGGACACACCAGACCAGUAAGAAGCAUAGGAUCAGUCACCCAGCGAUGAACUGUAAGAAGCACUACACUAAAACUAUUAUAUAUACGCACGCCCCUCCCGAUCAAAAGAAGGAAAAGACUUUCUUUUCAUGAUGACGGUCUAUAACGCAAGGUCAUUCUGGGCAAUGACAGACGGACUUAGACUUUGGUUGUGUAGCACUGAUCGGUCAUGAUCCUUGAUCAAGAAAGAUUGGUUAGAAGAAAGCAGGCGAGUCGUGCAUCUGAAUAAACUCCUAAGCCUAAGCAGCCAUAUACUCUUAAAAGAUAAAGCAAGCAAGUGAAGUCACCGAUCAAAUCCUAAAAGUAAAAGGUUUCGAACGGCUUUUUUUUUUUUUAAUGAUGGUUGUUGGCUAGCAUGGGCGAAGAGCCCAAAAGUCCUAUGCCAUGCACUAUUUACGUACUUUAGAAGUUAAUUAGAGAGAGAGAGAGAUGGGAGAGACAGAGAAUAGUAAGCUUACACAUACUUUAUGAGUACAAAGGCCUUUCGUACUGAUUAAGUACAUUUUGGAUGGAACUUUGAAGUAAGGAGUAUAAAACUUGUUAAAUAUGAUCUAGCGAUUAGCGAUUAUGUAUCAUGGCAUGAAGGUAUACCGAAAUUGCAAGCAAGAUACGGAUGGGUGAUCUGCCGUGCGGACAUGCCGUAUGCGUUCCGGUCACAAAAAAGCUUGGAUGACUUAGGCAUGUGAGCCGACAUAAAAUGAGCAUCAAUGAUUGUGGACUUUUCGUUUGCAACAAAAUAUCUCUAAUUGUUUAUUAACUAUUUUUAUCAAAUUUUUUGAACUUUAUUGAAAAUACUUACUAUUGUUUAAAAAAAGAGGAGUUCUACAGGUCAUUGCAUCGGAAGGAGUACUUCGGGAUUGCAUCUUCUGUAGUUAUAUCCUUUAAUGGCGAACCAUACCGGUAUGUAGAUAACGGAUUGGUGCCAAUAGGCAGUCAAAUCCUGUUUAGAUGUCAUUUGAAGUAUACCUCAACGACAUUCCAUGUUUUACAAAGUAUAAUUAUUCGAGCCUCAAGUGAUUAUUUAAUAGUCAAACAGAUGGAUAUUCUAAAAAUAUUAAGAAUCUUUGAUUUAAGAUGAGAGUACUGAUCUCGAUAUGUGAGGAAUAAAUUUUUAUAAAACAUUAACAAUCAAGCAAAUAAAAAAAAGAAUUGUAUCCAUCUAUUAAUGCAUAAGAUGUCGUUCGAUGAAAAUUGUAAUUUAGGGCCUUUUGAUGAUAGGUAAAUCGGACACGGUCGAAAAAAUCUUGAAGUUGAUUUCUAGAAGGUCUUGGAUGCUGCUAAGAUCAUGUCAAACAGUAUAAUCGUCCAUUGAAAGAGGCUAUCAUCGAAGACUUUAUAGUAUGAAGCAUAAAUUGUGACCGUUAUACUCAUAGUUCAAUAGUAAAGUUCUCUCUGGCCCUCCACGUGUCCGCGGGUUGGAGGGGGAAGUGACAGUUGGUGGUUAGAAUUAAUCUAGAGUGAAACCAUUCUGUGGUCUACUUUUUCAUUAGAUCAAACUUCGUUUGGAUCCAGGUAUGCCUACAAUACACAUUAACCCAGGAGGAUGAUCAUCAUCCUAAGCUCCACAAGCCAUUGAUCCAAGGGGCUCAAAACCUAAGCACCAACCCUUGUUCUGAUUGAAUCAGCAAUCCUCUUAAUGAACCACAUCGACUUGUUAAAAAGAAAAACAAUGUAUUUCGUAUCUUUUUUGAUCUUGAUUAGUGACCUUAUCUAAGAGAAAUAUUCUCAACUUGAUCAAAGAAUGGUAAAUAUAAUUUUUUGUCGCCUUAAGCUCCAACAGAAUUAUGAUGGAAUGUCCUAAGUUCAAAGCAAUAGAGAGGUCGUGAGGUUGGACGGACGAAACAAAUUUACUAGUUAGGUAGCCUUUACUAAUGCUAGUGAUUCAGGUAAGGUUGUAUGUAACCAAUAAAAUCUAUGGCAAUAGCUUAAGACACUUACGUGGUUUGAAUCGGCACAAACUCCAUAUAGAAGCUUGCAAAUUACUUUAUCAUCCACUCUUCUAGUGCAGCAGGAAGUGAAGUUUUUUCUGUCAACUAGUGUAGUUCUGAAGAUAAGAAUACUAAUCUCCUUCUGAGGUAAGAGUUGAGAUGAACGCACUCAGAAGGAGCAAGUUAUAGUCAUCUCAAUCCAUUUCUUACCUGCUUCGAAAGGAUGAACAAAGAGCACACUGGUCGUCGAUCCCUUUCUCUGAAGAAGAGGCAUGAAAUUUGGCCUAUUUGCCGUUUAGUAUUCAGCUGGAUUGCAUGACCCUUCCGCUAAUUAGUUGUUGAAAGAGGCAUUUAUCAUGUCUAGAAAGAUGGAGAGUCAGCUGGUGGCCAGUGAACUGGCUGAGAAUCUUAUAUCAGCCCAUCUGCGCUAAAAAAGGAAAAUGGAAUAAAAGAAACAAAGAUCUUAUGCAACGUACAGGGUGGAAAGAAAAAUUUAAUCAUUAUAGCGAUGAUUAAGGGAGAUGUUAAAAAAGAAUGUAUAAUAUAAGCUCAGGCAUCAGUAAAGAACCCAAUACUGCGAACAGGUACUAAUGAAAGUGGAGAAAACAACUCGUUAAAAGUUCAUGACUUUAUUUUAAAGCAAUUGUGAUACGAUCGGGAGAGAAAUUGAACAGGGAAUGCCAUACUCACUAGACACAAUUAGCAACUUUAACAUUACUUAUGUAACUUAGUUAGAAGAAAACGAAAACAAGUAUUUGUAGUCAAUAACUCAAAUGAGAAGUGAAAUACAUACUACACAGUAAAAGGAACCAGAACCAAUAAAAAAAGGAAAAAAAAUUUACAGAAGAAAAAUUAAUUACACCACAAAUUAGAUAAAGCAUAUUAGUCUAAUAUGAGAACCAGCAGGAGUGAUCAUUCUCCGUGCAGGCUGCUUGGAGGACUCGAGCAGUAAGGAAUCAACGGAUCAACAAGUUCUUCGGAUGUUACUUCUGCCAAGGGAUUAUAAUGAUUAAAAAGAGAAAAGCUUUGAGUAGAGUUGGAUUGUAUUCAAGGUGAUUAUCGAGGAGUUGUCAAGCCCAGGAUGCUGUGUUGAAUGAGUCCCUGGCAACUCUUUGAAUAACAUCUUUUAUUCCUGCGGCGUUUAGUGUUGAGUCCUGUCAACCGGAAAAGCAUGCGACCAUUUUCAGUAGAGGAACGAAAGCGCUUUUCAGCAUCCAUCAUUUAUUUUAGUUGAAGCAGGCUCUAAGUAAUCUACAAGACAUAUAAAAUUCACCAAUGAUGAAUGAAUGACUAUGCUCAUUCUCUGGCAUUACUGUCAUAGUUAAUUGUAUAGCACAAUGAUAUAGUGUUGUUAACAGAUAAUCUGAUACUGAGAAAUUGUUAUGUUAUUCCGUUAUAGAAGAAGACAUGGGGGGCUGCUUCUCCAAAACUUUGUUCCAUUGAAUCAAGGCCUGGCAAGAGCCGUUGCUGAGUCCUUGACUGGGAGGUGUUAAAAUUUUCCGAAGCAACUUCUCAAAUAUUGCUUAAUUUAACCUUAUCUGCUUUCUUUUGUGACAGAAUUUCUGAUCUUGAGUAGUUUAGGUCUAGUCUUGCUUGUGAAUAGCAUGAGGGUGAUAUUGAAUAAUUCCUAUCUUGAUCUUAGGUUCUAUCACCUCUCAGUGCGACCUGCAUAUGAAUGAAAAGAAAAACAGUUUUAUAUUUUAUUGGACUAAUUGAAAUUUUUCAUAUUAUUUUGUUUUUGGCAUCAACUAUCCAGGCCUCCCUUCCAUAUUAAUCGUUUUUACGCGAUCAGUAUCUUCUCGAUAUGAAUAAAUUUUACUUCCGUAUUGCUCCUUUUUGAUGAUCCCGUAGCGCUCAAUGAGACUUUCAGCAAGAUGGAGUCACAAAUCGUGAUUGAAAUUGGUGCUAUACAUAGUGCUAAUACUUAUCAUUCGAUAAUUUUAUGGAUGGCCAGUCCGCUUAGAUAGCUCUGUACAAAAGCAAUGUUUUGCCUAGUAUAAAGAACUAUAGUUCUUACAGGAGAGCAAAUAGAAUGCAAUUUCCCUAGUGUUUGAUCUGACACUCUAAAAUGAAAGGAGCAAUAAUUCUCAACGCAACCUGAAAUAUCAGUUUCAGGAUAUAAGUAAUCAAUUUACCAAUGAGCAAAUAUUAUAUUCUACUGCUGAAUAGAAGGUAUUAUCAAUAAGUAUUGUGUCAAAAGAUUAUCUUUUCUAGCUAAAGUGUGCACCAAUUUCUAGGGCUACUAUUGACUCUCUUCAUACAGACUGUGGAAUGCGAAGACGUAAAACAACAAUUUCCAACGGAAAUUAGGUGUUAAGGACUGAUGCCUAUACUUUUCGCAAAGUAUUUGAAACGGUCCAGUAACAUUGAAUAAAGAGUUGAUAUUCAACAUUAAAAUGUAUACACAACCUAGCAUGUACUUUCACAGCUUCAAAUAGGACUGAAUACCAUUUCAAUUCCAGAAUUCAUGGUUAAAAGUAAACGCAAAAGCUGCAAUUAAAUGAUUGUCAGAUGAAUAGGGAUUAGUAAUUUUAAAGCUUAUGUAAAGCCAAAUACUUGUAUCAGAGAAAAGAGCUCUUUUUGAUAGAGAAAAUAUCUUUGUCUUGCACAGCCCAAUUGGCGCUUCUGUUAAUACUGAAGUUUUCUUAUAGUAAGCUAAGGAUUUAUGUUUAUCCACCCAUUUAUUGGCAUGUUAUAAUCAACUUGGCCCGGUUUCAGCUGAAGGAGGCGUGCAUUCAGCUCCUUCUACUUCUGUGUGCGUCGAUUUGAACUUUAGGUCGCCGAAGCGCACUUAACUCUGAGUAGGCAGAAAAUAUUUGCACACGGACGUAUGGAUCUCAUCAAAGUGGUCUGCAUUUUUGGAAUUUCUGCUGAUGCCAUUCGAACUUAUACAGGAAAAUACCAAUCUGCUUUUUCCCAGAUUCAAUCUAUAUCACACACAUUCAUUUUUUUUAUCUGUCAGAAAUUUAUUAUAAUGCACACGUGUCGACUGGUUCUUUGAUUCAAGAGCUUCGAUAGUCGCUCUCACCGGGGGGGACAGCAGCCUGCCUGGCAAGGCGGAAUGUGUGUGUGAUGAGCUCUUCUCCCCUUUUUGUUUGCCAGCCACUUCUUAUAAUUUCCUAAAGCCCACCACAAAUAUGACAAGCUUGUGAGUCAGAUUUUUUGAGGAGGGACGAACUUACCAUAGAGCUAGUCAGCAGCUUUGAUGAAGUCCGCCUCUUUCUUUGGCUUGUCAACACUGUAGCCGUCAGUCGUUCAUACCAAGUCAGUUUGUUUGUUUGACCAAGUCCAAGCAUGCUUGUUCGGUUGUUACUGAUCUCAGAACCGACAGACACUUGGUUAAAUCUGACUUUAGUUACAUAUCCAUCUGUCUGUGAAUUCCAUAAUUUGUUCUUCUAGUCUCUGAAGUAUUGCUUCGGCCUUGGUUGGAAAAGUGAUAUUCUCAUUGUGUCUACUUUUUCCUUACAGAGUUGAGCACUUCUCGAUCAAGGAAAUAUGCGACCUGAGUAAGCCAUCUUCUACUUGUUCUAAAUCCUUUGUUUUAGAGAGACCAAUUUUGAAUAUUUUUGUCCAAACUCAUGUAGGCUUCGCCGGUUUUUUGCCAUUCUGUUUAGACUAUGCUUUCUUUUGAUUCUACAACCAUUGUUGAUAUGCUGCAGCGCAUAGUCAUCUUCGUCCGCAUUUCUUCAAUCCAGAUGAGUUCUCCGAAGAAUGACUUCUCUCGUAUAGACUGUUAAUGAGAGAUGAAUGUCACAGCAGAUGCUAAGCACACUAAGAAGUCUUUGAAUUCCUGCUGCAAUUUAGUGCCGUGUCAUUUACAUUCCUCUUCACUCGAAUUGGAAUCGGUCAGAUGAGGAGUACGUCCCAAGUGGAUAGCUUGCAUCGCUUUCUUCAUCUCAACAGACUUUUUAUUAGGACAGUCAGAUGCGAUAUGGCCAAAGCCUCGUUACUUGUUAGCAUUAAAAUUUGACCUUCACCGGCUUGUUCUUCUCUUUUGUGGACGAGUCCUUUUCGGAGAGUUAUCAGAUAUUUUCUGAUAUUUUGAUGAGGAAGAGGAAGACGCAACCCCCUUUUAGAUUUGUUUGUCUUUGGAAGAAAGUAGGACUUGGAGGAAACUUCUUUCUAAGUUCCGUACGAAAUUCUUUUAAGAAGUGCCUUAGUUGUUUUCAAAGUCCUCCAGGGGCUUCUGUCCGACUCUGAAAUCUGCAUGAGAGUUGAAGAGUACAUCUGCUUUCUUGUGAUUUUAGCAGCCAUCCCUGAGGCCUUUAGGGAAAAAGACUUGGAAGAGGUACGAAUUAGAAAGGAAAAGUAUUUCAUAAGUUUUGAAGCAGCACCUACUAAUUCUUCUACCGUGAGUUCAUUCAGGAUGUUUCGGACCUUUCAAUAGCUGCAACCGGAGUGACGGAACAUCGUUCCGGAGGAGGGUCUCAAAAUUUUUUCGAAACAAUUUGGAAUCCAGGGAAUUUGCUCGACCCAGUAGCACACAUGUUUACAAUGUCUUGCAGACGAGUUAUAGCUACUCGUAAAAGAUUCGAUGUUUUCCAUACGAAAUGAAUCAAAUCUACUAGUAGCAUUGGUAUUUGUUGAAUUCUUAACCACAGAUUGUACCCUCGUGUGUAACUCGCAAAAGUGUUCCCAAAUCAUCUUUGCGGAUUGCGCACACCGAGACGCGUGAGAAAAUUCAGUUUAGUUAUUUAAAGCAUUGCAAUUAAAGACGAUUGAUACCUUCCCAUUUGAAGGAAGAUAGUCAUUUUCCUCUUUCGUUCCUAUUUAUUCCUAGGUUUCGGGCUGGGCACGCGGUAACGUUCUCGAACAACUCGGUAGGGGUUUUCAUCCGAAUAUCAAUUGGCUUGCCAAACGCUCGCGUAGAAUAAGAAACGCCCUGUUUAUAAGGACUUUCCAAUAUGCCCAUAGUUAAGUGCCGAGUCGAGACGGCGGUCGAAUUGAUUGUUACCGCCCUCACCAAUGAAUUACAACCAUAUACACCGCUCUAUACCACUUAUCAAGAUAUGGAUCCCGAUCGCGAUCUAAAAGGUAAGUAACACCUAGAGCGGUGGGUGAAUCAGGCUGCAUAACAAUGCGCAAACUCAAAAAAUCUCCGAGCGAAUAUAAAACAAAAUAGCGAAAGAAAACAACACACCGAGAAUUUAACGUGCGGAAAACCCAAACUCGAGUGAAAAAACCCACGGGACACAUCACGCAAAGAAAAAUCCAUCUAGAAACAUGAGUACAAGGUGAUCUUGAACCCAAACACAGAGCUCAAUUUACCAUUUCCCGUAGUGCAGAUCUUUUCGCGGCCUCGAUCGGUUAUAAGGAAUCCUCAUCGACGUUGCGCGCAAACUCCUCGCACGCGUCAACGCCUCAAUUCUCGAGCUUUCCACCGAAUUUUCGCUUCACGCGAGAUCGCGACGCGUCGAACCUGCCUUCCGGAGCAUUGUAGGAAUCAGAAGAGUUUUGAUGAUUUAACCUUUUGAUAUCAUNNNNNNNNNNNNNNNNNNNNNNNNNAGGAAAAACUCGAGGUCUGGCGCUUAUUACCAUAGUCGCAGCAUAGAAAAGUCAGGUGCCUGAUGAAAUAGUCUAUGAAAGGGGAUGUCACCUGAAAGAACUGAAGACUGCCUCCAUGCGAAGAAGAGAGAAGUCGGUUCUCCCCCGCUUCGCUCUCCCCUCGGGGAAUUGAGUAGUUUUUAGAGUAGAGUCGAGGAGAUGACGAAGAGCUGAAGAAGAGAAAGUUUACAUUGCGACGAAAGGAGGUCUCGCUUCGACGUUCUCGCGGGGGUUCUUUCUCUUUCUCUCCGCCUUCAAACGAUUGGUUUCGUUUAUUCUCUCCAACAACUCAUGGAGUAUGGAUCCCUCUCAUUGCUUCUAAUUCUCUCUCUUUUCCUACCUUCAGCAAACUGGGUACAAGGUUCUAUCAUUAGGUGUGGGCGCUGAUGAACCAUUUGAUGAGCUUAUGGUUUUGCCUUCCUGAAUACAGGAUAGCCCUCGAAUGGAAGAGAACUUUUAGAAGCGCUCUUGAGGUCUGAUGUGGACCCCCUCUUAAGUAAGCUGUUUCCGAAUCAACAAAAUCUCUAUGCUUAACAUAGACGAAUAAGGAUGGGUUCCGCUGGGCUAGAUCGUGAGCUAUAUGCUUAUAACAUCCGAUCGAGACCAAUCACACAAAGAAAAAAAUGGAUUACCUGUCUUUCCCUCUCUUGUCAACUGCAUACUGCAUGGAGUCUUCCCCGGAAAAAAGGCGAGGCUGUCGAUAUGCUAUUCACAGCCUGAGAGUGAGCAGAGAAUAGUCUUUUUAUUUACUUUAUUUGACCUUUUUUACCUUCAUGUGGCAAACUGGGGAACUUAGGUUCUCAAACUUUACUUUAUUUUCUUGCGCGACGAGAUACUGAUAAAUAUCAGUAGCCCGUUUUCGCUUAGGAAGACAAAGCAGUGUCAAGCCGAGGGACAGGUCGCGAUGGAGAAGCUGCUCCCGUAAAGGCUCAAACUCUGGGCGCAGGCGCAUCAGGAGCAGAUAUAGGCGCUGGCGAUCACGGAACUGCUGAUAUGUCUUACAACUGAGGAGGGAAGCUGGAGGCGGAGGCGAAGAUGAGAAUGCAAAAGGAAAGCAUUUCUCGCCAUGUGGUUUUUGACGAGAAAUGUAAAGGCGACCGGUUAGAGGAUCUGAAAGAGAGAGUGUAGAAAAUUGAGCGAGGGAUCGAGUGGUGCGGGAACUCCGGAUACUGCUAAAUAGUGGUUUCAGUUCCACAGAAAGGAAUCAAUUGUUAAGAAAGCAUCUCUGGGCCUGGGCUUGGAUCAAGCAAGCUCAUAAUUUUCUUAUAUGCAGGGAGAGAUUGAAAAACUGCAGACGGAGCAUUUGAACGGUGGUAACCAUAAGCAGUUUCCCUUCAACACAAAAGAGGAAAAGCACGGCUCUUCCGCGCUGUAUGGGAUUUCAAAGGGGGAGGGGUAGGUAAAUGAGAAAGGUAGAGUAAGAUAUUUUCAUUCUAACAGAAUGAGCGGAUCCAAUACACAUAUUGUCUUUGACAUAAAAAAAGAAGGUUGUAAUAACGAAACAGACAUUUGAGAAUUUUGUCCUUGCCUUGCCAGUGGAACAAGAAAGACUAUAUAGAUUUUGAUAUGAAAUACACAAUCAAAGGAUUUCGCUUCCAUAGAAUGACGGAAUUCCCCUUGCUUAGUUUUCGCUCCGCUCGUGCGUGGCACUCCUUGCUUGCGGAGCGGCAUACCGAAAAAAAAAAGGGGGAGUUGGCGCCUGUUAUGUAGAAGUCAAUAUUCUCGCAAAUUGAAUUAUUUCUUUUUUUUUUUCUUCGCAAUAACUCGGGAUGUAAUCCCAUAGAGAUGAUUAAUUAGACUCCUGUAAAUUCAAUGGGAUGAAUUGCAUCCUGAUGAUACUGAAUCGGAUCAAUAUUAUGAAUAACAAUAUCUGAUCUAUCAAAUCGAUUCAUCGUCGAGAAUUGAAUAGUAUAACAUAGGAAGAUUCUUUAUCCAUACUAACUAUUAAAUAAAUGGGAUUUUUUUUUUUAUCAGGAAUCCAUUGCAUUUUUCAUCCUCUUCCACUUUUUCUUUUCUAUAACUACUGUCUGUCUUCCUUAUCUUAUACAAUUCUCCUUCCUUUUUAUAUACUUAUACAUACAAUGAUGAGGUAUUAUAUGACCGGUAUUCUAUGGGUCACACACAGACCCAAACGAAGUGAGAUGGAAAAAAGAAGGGAAACAAUAAAAAAGAUCUAAAUAUCCAACAAAUUUACUGAAAAGGGUCCUUGCUUGGUCUUUUCUUUUAUUAUAUUAGUAUCCUCUUUCUUUUAUUAUUUAUUGUACUGUCAUAAAAAAUGAUGUCUGCUAUUUGAAUGAGAAUGAGAUAGAUUGUUUCCAAUUAGUCAUUGAGGAUACACAAACAAAGUCAGAGCUAGAAAAAAGGUGUGGUUUAACCUGAAAAGUACUCUGUCGAGGUAAUUAUGUUAAGUUCAUUGUCUAUCGUACAAGCAAGAUAGAAUACUCUUUGUGUAUGUACUCCCGGUAAAAUAGGGUCACUCUACUCCAUUUCAUUGAUCAAGAACAAUCUAAAAAUUAAGUAAGACGAGGAUGGUAUCUCUUAAAAUACUUAUUGUAGUAAUACCACAUAUUAUACUAAUAUACAUAGGAUAUGUCUCUCCUUUAUCAAUCGGAGUAGUGGAAAAAAUGGAAAUUCCCGUACCCGUAUUUGUCUGAUGAUAAAUGCGAAAUAAAAAACAAAAGAAAAAUAAAGAUCCCACUCCACUGGGGAUUAGAUCUUGCUUCAUCUCUCCCUUUUCCGUGAAAAGAGAGAGAUGAAUUGAUAAAUUCACCGGAUCCUAGUUCGGGACUGACGGGCUCGAACCCGCAGCUUCCGCCUUGACAGGGCGUGCUCUGACCAAUUGAACUACAAUCCCAGCGAGGUGUAUGCAUACAUAUUCUUAAUGUAAUCAUAAGAACAUUAACGUCGUCGUAUUGUAAUAAAGACACGAAUGAUAUACUGAUAUCAUAUCCACAUAUAAUAUGGGCUAUAGUGAGAGUGACACGGAUUACUAGUAACCAAUAAUUAUUUUACUGCCCAAAAUGGAUAAUCAAUCUUUCUAUGAGAAAAAAUAACUAAACUAUUUUGCUUUUCAUGAUACUUUUCUUAAUGAAGUCUAGUAUCAUGAACUAGAUCCUUAGAAAGAUCUGAAGGAGAAAAAUAUGGAUGAGAAAAAAAUAAAAAUUUACUCUUCUCUUUAUUUCUACGGAUUAGGCAUUUCCGUUUAUGGAAGAAAAAUUGGUUAUAUCAUAUUCAUGGAGCGGUGAAUUAUUGGGCCGAGCUGGAUUUGAACCAGCGUAGACAUAUUUCCAACGAAAUUACAGUCCGUCCCCAUUAACCGCUCGGGCAUCGACCCAGGAAGAAUUCAUUCUAGGCUUAUUGAUAAUCUAUGAUAAACUUCCUUUCAUAGUACCCUACCCCAGGGGAAGUCGAAUCCCCGCUGCCUCCUUGAAAGAGAGAUGUCCUGAACCACUAGACAAUAGGGGCAUAUACGCCCGACCGUCAUCAUACUAUGAUUAUAGUAUGAGCAGUUUUUUUUAAUUGUCAAUAUAGUCUAAUGGUAUGACUAGAUCCUAAAAGUCUUUCCUACUUUGUUGUUAUGAUUUCAUAGAAUUUUUUUUUUUAUUUGAUGAUUCAUGAAUGAACCAUCCAUACUAUUUAUAACGAAAGGAGGUAUAGGAUUCCUUCAGUUCAGGCAGUGAUUUGAUUGGUCUGACAGAAAACAGAAAAAAGAGUCAAAUGUCAUUUAAUUUCUUUUCUUCAAUUUGAACUCAUUGCUUCAUUUAGUGUGAAGAUAAAUAUGCCUAUCACUAUCUCACACUAAGCCAGAAAAUACAAAAAGGAUAGAAAUUUGAUCUUUUAUUUUAUAAGAAUUCGUUCAGGGUACUAAUCCCCUCAUGACAUGAUUCAUGAAAAUAUCUUGAAUCUAUGUCGAUGUCGGAUUAGUACAUUUUUCAUGAAAGUGAAUGUUGUUCUGAGGGUCAGUAAAAGUAAAUAAGUGGGGUCUGUCUUGAAACAAUUUACUGCAUUAUUUUAUAUCAAAAUCUUUUUCGAAAAAGAAAAAUAAUAAUUUUACCUACUUUUGGAGUAAAUCCAAUUUCUUGUUCCUGAAGAAUUCCUAGGCAUAUAUAAAUAAAAAAAAAAUAUAUAUAUAUAUAUAUAAAUAUAUAUUUUAUAUUUCCAAUUCCUAUAAUUAAUCGACAAACCAAAGUUUUCUUAUUUCUCCAAUGUUCUUAUCAAACCCACUAUAAAAUUCUAAAUAAAGAAAAAGUAAGUGGACCCGACCCAUUGAAUGAUGACUAUAUCAGCUAUUCAGAUAUGGAAAUUCGAUAUAGAUGAAAUUUUACAAGCGGAUUUCUUUUUAUUUCCUUAGACCAUCAAGAAUUUGUCGAUAUUUACGAUUUCAUCUUCUUGUUACUGGAUGCUCCAUAGGAAUAAAUCGCUAUUUUUUUCUUCUACAAAGUUGAUUUCAAAAAAUAGAUUUUUCAAUAUCUUUCCUUGAUUUCAUAAUCUGAUAUUGUUUUUCUUCCGCCAAUUAAAUAGAGAACGAAUGCGAGAAAAGGACUUUCAUUUCCAGUCUACCAUUAUUUAAUAUUGAAUUUUGUGGCAGGAAAAAAUAGGAAAUUUUCUUUUAUUUUGGUUUGACCCGUUAAAAGAUAUACUCUUAAAUAUGAGUCAUAGGACAAUUCAGGAUUCAAAUGGUUAUAUAGUAUAAGGACUAAUCGAAUCGAGCUCAUGGAUUUACCAUUGAUUUACCUAGGUUGGUUUGUGGCCCAAUAGAAUAAAAAAAAGGCUUUCCUCGUCUUUUUCCCGCUUUCACCUUCGAUUGCGAGGGAUGAUCGGCCGGUUUUCAAUUCGCUUCUCUAUGCGGAGCUGCGCGUGGUGGGAAGGCCUUCGCGAUUCGCAUCUUCCCGUCCGGCAAAGAAAGUGAAGGGGAGAGUGUGGAGACGCUGCAGAACCGCUUGAUUGAUCAAUCAAGCUAUUCCCUAAUUGAAGCAAGUUGGAAAGCUUUCAGAGCCUCAGCUCGUUCUGAUGAAUCGCUCCUUUUUCUGAAAGCAUGGGAUAUUGUUAAUAAUGCAGUACAGAACAUCUAUGUUCCGGUGGGAAUGAAAUUCGAUUUCCGAUGGAUAACAAUCCAUCUUUCUCGCUUUCGCUCUUUCUCCAAUCAAUCGCGAGGGUUCCGGCAUGAGAACGCAAGUGCCGGAAUCGAACAAAACGUCCGAGGACGAAAGAGAAAAUGCUCCGCGGGGAACUCGUUUCAUGUCGGCCUAUUCGUGCCGCUUAGACGUCGGCCAUGAAAUCCAUCACUAUACCGAGCAGAUCACGGGCAUUCACAUCUCGGUCAAACGGAACUGUACGCGAUUCUCUCGUGAAUCGCCUUCCGCAAGGUAUGCCCCAUUUCGGAUUCCCGGGAAGAAUAUUUCUAUACAGACAUUCGUUGCUGGUCUCAAAAAGAUCUUAUCCCGUGGGCGUUAGCGGACGUUUUUCAUUUACGGUCUUUAGUAGCCUUUCCGAAGGUAACCGCCUUUGUUGACUUUAGAAAGGCGCUAAAACAGGCAGGCCAUAUGUUCUAUAGAAGAAGACUGUGUAUGUAUAUAAAUAGUUUGAGAAAAGAUCGUCUUCAGCAUGAAAAGAAUAACCUUUGUUUGGGAUAUAGAAUUCCUUUUUUUGAUGGUCAAAGACCCUUUCUUUUCCCGGACCGAUGACUCGGUUGUUCAGUACUGCUACAUAUUAUAGGAGGAUGCCGUCCCCCUUCAAUCCAGUAGCUUCGGUUGUUUAAUAUCGUGCAAGUUAGUUGUGGUUGUUGUAUUGGCUGCAAGCGGAAAGUAGCGCUGUAGGUGUGUUUGACCAUGCACUCUCGCGUCGUGUAAUGUCGUAUGUAUGAUAGAGGUGGUGUGGUGAUUGAUCUCCAUGCUAAUGGUUAUCCCCUUUGUUCAACGAAUGAAUGAAGCGUUGAUCAGGAUAGAGAUGAUGGUCUUCGUCUUCUGUCUCCAAGCCGGCCAUACAACAUGGAAAUCAAAUAGAUAGGCGAAGCAACCAAUAGCAGUCUGUUCUCGCCUAUCGAUAGAUAGCAGGUUGCUUCCAAGCUCAAACCAUGAUCAACUGCAUUUUUGCUUGUUGUUAUUAAUGGAGUGGUAUUCUCCCCCCUGUCAAAUAAAAAGAUAACUGGAAGAGAGAAGAAAAGAGCAAACAAAGGAUUUACAAGUCACAUGGGAGAAGAACGUUGAACUGCAUCUUCAACUAUAAAAUAAAACCCCCGGGGCACCGAAGCCUCCCGCGGCAAGCGAGAUAAAGAAAGCAGCUGGACUGCCUUGCCGCGGGAGAGUCUUUCUCCAAUGAGAGAAGGUUUUGGGCAAGACAAAAGACAGGACUCGCCCUUUGACACCAGGGAUAAGAGCAGAUUGCUGGCGAUGACUUGGUGGAAUCCUUGAGAGAAGGUUAUCGAACCUAUAGACUCUACGACUUCGUGGAGACCGAAUAGAGCCCUUUAAGCGAGAGGGCCAUGCUGUUGGCGUCUUACCUACAAGGCAAGAUAAAGGCGGGGGCGGGCGGGAUCAAGCUUGAAAGAAUGGACGGGCCUAGGCUUGAUAGUGAAGGCAGACCCCCUUCAAAAUCAUCGUGUCUGGUGCUAUCUCCUUCAUAAGCUAUGAGGGUUCACCUUUAAUCAAACAUCUACUUGAUUCUCGUAUGGGUUAUCGAGUAAAAACGAAGAAUCAAGCUGAUUGUUGAUUGUUGGAAACUCAUUAUGUGAAUCAAAGCAUUGAAACGAAGAAAAAUAAGUUUCUAGGGUUUAGAAUCAGUAAAUAUUCAAAGCCUUAAACUUUUAGAUGACCCACAUAGCUUAUUUAUAUGUUUAGAAGACUUAGAAGUAGACUAGGAUUGAAAAAGUACUUUUUAAAAACCUGUGUCAUCCUCAGAGACCGGUCCUCUCGAGGAGACCGGUCUGUGAGAGACCGGUCUCUCAAGUGAGGAACCGGUCCCUCGCUGCGUGACCAAAAUCACAACGUUCGGGAACCGGUCUCUUAAGCUUGAGACCGGUCCCUUGCUGCGCGACAGAAAUACCAAGGUUCGGGAACCGGUCUCCCAUCACAGGGGACCGGUUGCAUCAAGGUUCACGCAGUGAGGACCUUAGGGGAACCGGUCUCUUGAACUCUGAGACCGGUCCCAGAACACAGAAAAGUUCAGUAAAGUAGUUUUAACACCAUCUAAGCCUUCUGAACUUAUUCUAACUAGGUAUCUUCACCACAAAUGAUCUUUUCUUCAUACUUUAGGUGUCGAGCUUUCCGAAUGAGUCUUAUUUCUUCAAUUUGAAUCUUUUUUUUCAAAACUUCUGCGAUCAACUCUUCAAGACUCCAACCAACUUUACGAAAUUCGCCAAGCUAUAAAAUCCUUAACAAGGUCCCACAAGGGGGGUGCAGCCUCACCCAUCUUCAAAUGUAGGGUAUUCGUCACCCAGCUCUACUACUCACAGGUACCCCUAUAUAAAUGUUUGCGUCCUUGUGGACUCUUGCGCGACUCGGACAGCACCAUAAAUGCCAAAAUUUUCAUUAAUCUGGGAGGUCGAUGAUAUAAAAUGAGGAUCCCUUUGUGCGUAAGUGCCCUAUAAGCUAUAAGGGUGAGCAAUAUGUAUAAAUAAAAGGAAGGAAGCAUCCAGCAGGAAUCGAACCUACUUGCCCAGGUUAGGCGCUUAAACCAUUCAGCCAUGGAUGCCGAGCCGAGUGAACUAGGUUUUUUUUGUAUUCCUUCUCGAGCUUCUAUUUCUUCCGUUAAGGGAGAUUCGGGAAAAGAUGGAAUAGGAAGACGUGUUUCCAGAACGAACAAGAUACGGGUGGAGAAGGGGAAGUUAGCAAAGUUAGACAAGAUUGGAAUGGGCAUAGGAACAUGUAUUGAUGUACCAGAUCGGCUAAUGCUCCUAGAUUGAUGCGAUGUAUUCCACCAGUUGACUGGAGACUUUAUUAUUGGUAUAUCGAUCGGUCCAGCACGGAUUGAAAUAGGAGCCGAUUCGACAGGAAGCUUUUGAAAACGCAGUGCACCCAGGUAAAUAAGGAACAAGAUGAAUACAGAAGUUAAACGAGCAUCCCACACCCGAAAGGUACCCCACAUAGGCCUUCCCCGAAACCCCCCAGUUACUAAGGUAAACAAAGUAGAAAAAGCACCAAUUUCUGUACCGGUUCCGGAAGAGCGAAGAAAAAGGGGAUGCUUUGUUAAUGGGAACAAGGAACUGUUAAUAGCCGUUGCGAUAUAAAUAACUAUACUCAUCCGAGCCGCAGGAACAUGUACAUACAGAAUACGAGAAUUUCCACCUUGUUGAAGAUCUGGUGGUGCUACCCGAAGACUUAAAUGAAUAGCCAUCGCUGUUAAGAACAACCGAGAUCCAAUGAGAAUUUGCGCGUAGCUUUUUGUCUUUGACAUAAAAAAAGAAGGUUGUAAUAACGAAACAGACAUUUGAUAAUUUUGUCCUUGCCUUGCCAGUGGAACAAGAAAGACUAUAUAGAUUUUGAUAUGAAAUACACAAUCAAAGGAUUUCGCAUUCCAUAGAAUGACAGAAUUUCCCUUGCUUAGUUUUCGCUCUCCCCCUACUAAAAUCCGGAGAAGAACUCCUUCACUAAGGAAUGGAAAUAGAAGGAUGAUUCCUCUGCUCCGCUUACAUCCUUGUAAAGCUUAAGCAAGUACUCUAUUUCGACUUGGUCCACUGUUUGAGAGUAAGCCUCCUCAAGCUCGAACUCGGCCUCAAACUCCUCUCUCCUUUUUUCCAAGAAAGAGAGGAUUGCUUCCUCUGGACUGCUUUCUACGCAGUUCUCCAGUAUAUGGGGAUGACGCUGUACUAAGUCUUUUAGGAUCUUAGUACAGCUUUCCCUCAGCUCCCUUUUCUGGAGAUCUAGGCUCUCGCAGUCCAGCAGAGCGUUAUAUUCACCCUGGGUGGAAGCAGAAUGAAGAGUAUCCUUGACCUCUUUCCAGUUGCCCUCUUCUUUAAGAAGAAGACUGGAUUGGCCAUCCUCCAUACGGAGGAUUCGGUUUAGCGAGUUUUCCAAACUUCGAUUCCUAGAUAAAUUAUUGGGUUCCCUAGGCGGCUCCGGAGCAGCCUGAGCUUCCCCCUCUUGGGGAUCAGGUACCUGCUCUAAAGCAGCCCCAAUAAAGGGGGCAACCAUGUCCCAUAAUUCGUUCAUGAUCACUCUUGAUAAAUUUGGAGAAUGAGCACUGUGAACUAUCCGCUCAAACAGGGAUAGUUGAUCGAACCGAAACCUACGUAAAUAAAGUAGGACUAAAGACGCAUAGGAGUAAAUGAGCUUCUCCUCUAUCGUAAUGCGGUAUUUCUAUUUUUCUUCUUUAUUGGUGUUUUGGCUCGCAAUAAGGCUAGGUCCUGAUCGAGCAAGACGGAGUCCUAUCUAUCUACCUCUCCAGACACAAUAUCUUGAGUACCUAUGAUGGUGACUACAUCUGCUGGCAUGUGAUGUUUGGACAUAGAAUCGAGUCCUUGUGAAUGGGCAAAGCCAGGUGCUCUUAUUUUACGACGGUAGAGACGAUUGCUUCCAUUACUGACAAGAAAGACACCAAAUUCUCCUUUAGGAGCUUCAACUGCGGUAUAGGUAGAAGGAGCUGGUACGGAAAAACCUUCUGUAUAAGGUUCGAAAUGGUGAAUUGAGGUAGAGUAGACCGAUGAUCCGGUAGUUAUUUGGCCGGCUAUGGAAAGAAAAAGCUAGCAUCUGCUCCCCCUAAACUAUAACCGGUCCCAUCUCUCUCCAAACCUAACGUGGUAGUUUCCCAUCAUAGGGCUUUCUAUCUAUAGAUUGAGCCAUUACCCACCAAGGAUCCCAUUCGUUCAGAACUCACUCAGUUGACUGCUUCUAUAGAUAAGGCGGAGCGUCCUUGGUUCAGCAUUAUAGCACAUAGGCUUCGGCGCUACUACAGCGCUUCACUAACUCGAAGCGCCUCGCUAUGAGAAUGAGGCUUCGCUAACGCUCGGCUAAGUCGUCGAACCCUCGCGCUGACUGUUCGCUUUUUCAGUAGUGAAAGCGCUUCUCUUUGCCCCAACACUAAAAAAAAAAAAGUAUUUGGAAAAGAAAGAGAAACUAGGUUUUCUUGCUCCCGCUUCCUCAUCUGCGCUCGUCAAGCCAACUUAGCUUUUUGGGAGGUGAAAGAGCGGUUGAAGCGGACAUUUCGAAAUGACAGCAUCGAAGAUAUCUAUAUACACGGUCACGGUUAUUCCGGACUGCGUUCCGGAGAAAGUAGCCUACUUGACAGACAGGGCGGGCACUCUCGGCUCAGAGGUAGGCACUCUCGUCUUUCAACCCCACCUUACUUUGCAUUUUUUUUUUUGCACUGUUUACUUACAGCCUCUACGAGUUGCAAGUGAAUGGGGCCGGUGCGUGGCGAACAGAAGUGUUCAUCAAGCCAUUUCUCGCCUCAACCCCUAAACACUUUAGGAAGAGGGCUACUUGCUAAUUUGGGGGCAACUGCAUCGCACCUGACUGUGAGGGACCUCUCGAUACCUUAUGUUCACUUUCUAACUAGUAGCCGCUUUCCCGUCGCGGAAGACUUUUCCCAGUGCGCGGAGCCCCAACGAGGAAGGUGUUAGUGCUUUCUCAUGGGGUCAAUAAUGCUAAUCCCUCUUUUUGUGCUACUCCUACGGGAAGAAGAUAAGAAAAGGCGAAGCCUUCUCUUGGUUUCCCAACCUGUUGCUGCUAAAGGCUGCCCUCUCUCGGCUGGAUUUUGGUCCAGCCUACUAUGAGGAUCCUGUAUCCCGUACAUCGUCUUUCUCCCUCCUGGGUUCCCGUGGUUCCUAUGCCGCCGCCUUUCCCGGUCCUUUUCUUUUAGUGCUUCGACCCGAAGCGAUAGCUUGACGCGUUUUCAGUGGAUAAGAUGGCUGCGCUCCAGCUCACUAAAGAAUGGGACGGCAGUGGUCCGCCGGCAAGCUCGUUCUGAUCUUGGACGCAGUACAUUGGAAUCCUGAAGCACCACCACGAACGCUACCGCGCAUGCGCCUGCGGUGUGGGGUAAGGCACCACCCUGUUGUGCCAGCAGCCAACUCCGGCGUGUCAGCUUAGUUAUCCUCAUCAAGCCACAACCUUGAUGUCUAGCUUCCCAACUGGUAGACGGUUCCCUUUCCCCCAAAUCAAUGAAGAAGGGAGAAGUCAGUUGAUUCUUCCGAAGAACCGGAAGCGAAGCGCUAUGCCGGGGCGAGGGGACGGGAAAAGAAACUGCUCCGAAGAAAGAUAUUGGGGUUCCCAAUGCUUCUCCACGCCCAACGAGAUGCACCAACCUCGGGAUGCUUUACUCCUAACCCCACGACGGUUCCGAGACGGAGCUUAACCUGAGUCUCGGUUAAGAACGGCGAUUGUUAAGGAUUUUGUAUUGGCAAGUUUCGUGAAGUGAGUCGGAGUCUUGAAGAAUCGAAGCGAAUUGACAAGAUUUUGGAAAAAAUCAGAAAAUACCUCACGACGUGAAUCACGAUGGUCAGGUAAAGUUUUAAUUCAUGUUAUGGUGAUUCAUACUUAGUUAUAGGCAUUAGAAUCAUUUAAUCAAAAGUUUAGUUGAUUAGAAAGUGCUUCGGAAGUGUACGGAACUCGAAACAAUGCAAAAUCCAAAAAAUUGCAUUGUGUACCGGUACAGCAAUCAAGCCCGUACCGGUACAGCCACUGACUUGGCUUCGUAUUUCUGUUCCGUCCUUGUGUAACCGGUGACAGCUUUUCGUGUACCGGUACACAGUGUAAAAUCGUGAAAUCGUUCUAAUCCGACUCCAAUUUAUUCUAAAGUCUAUAAAUAAGCUAUUGGGCUUCUCUAACAGAAGUAGUAUCACGAAAAUACAUAUUUGAGAAACCCUAGAGGCUCGGAUUUCAUCUAAAACCUAUUUUCUACAAAAAGCCUCUUUUAGAUCAAAUCGAGAUAUUGAAAUUUGAUAUUAAUAUGUCGAUUUGAUCUCCGCUUCGCUUGGAGUUUCUUUCCCUGGUUUUCUACGAUACUCCAAAGCGAAGGAUCACCAUAUUCAUGAUAUUCUUCAUGGUGGCGUCGUGGAUUCGGCGUGUUUGACGGCGGUUCGUGGAUUCGAGUGGCGUCGUGGAUUCGGCGUGAUUGAAGCUUCGUGGAUUCGAAGUGGAGGCGUUCGUGGAUUCGGACGUGAGGGCGUGGACAACCCAGAGGAUUGCGCGAGAUCCAUAGGAGGUCAAGAGAGGUUGAGUCCGUAGAGUCGGUAAAUCACCUUGUAAUCUUUUCUCUUAGUGGAUUAUUUUUUUUCGCGUGUUGAUCCCGUGGGUUUUUCUCCAAAUUGGAGUUUUCCCACGUAAAUCUCGGUGUGCUUUUUAUUUUUCGCAUUUAUUUUUAUUGCAUCGAGAUUUGUGGUUUUUGGCCAUUACACCUAUUCACCCCCCCUCUAGGUGAUAGAUACAAUCUAGAUAGAUCCUUGGGCUCCUCAAAACUUUCAGCGAUGAUCUACGUUUCACACGGUGCACGAUUCCAUGGAUAAUUUCAUUCGAGAUCGUGAUAGAGGACAUAGCUUACGAUCAUCGGCUUUGAUCAUGCCACUAGGCAUUUGAUUAGGACAUUGCACAAUGAUCCGAACACUUUGUCGCAUCUCUUCGAUACGGAUACAGUAACGAUCAUAGCGAUCUCCUCUGGUACCUACUGGUACGUCAGGAUCCGAUUGGUCAUGAACAUCGUAANUUUUUUUUUUUUAAGGAAAAACUCGAGGUCUGGCGCUUAUUACCAUAGUCGCAGCAUAGAAAAGUCAGGUGCCUGAUGAAAUAGUCUAUGAAAGGGGAUGUCACCUGAAAGAACUGAAGACUGCCUCCAUGCAGAGAAGAGAGAAGUCGGUUCUCCCCCCGCUUCGCUCUCCCCCUCGUGGGGAAUUGAGUAGUUUUUAGAGUAGAGUCGAGGAGAUGACGAAGAGCUGAAGAAGAGAAAGUUUACAUUGCGACGAAAGGAGGUCUCGCUUCGACGUUCUCGCGGGGGUUCUUUCUCUUUCUCUCCGCCUUCAAACGAUUGGUUUCGUUUAUUCUCUCCAACAACUCAUGGAGUAUGGAUCCCUCUCAUUGCUUCUAAUUCUCUCUCUUUUCCUACCUUCAGCAAACUGGGGUACAAGGGUUCUAUCAUUAGGUGUGGGCGCUGAUGAACCAUUUGAUGAGCUUAUGGUUUUGCCUUCCUGAAUACAGGAUAGCCCUCGAAUGGAAGAGAACUUUUAGAAGCGCUCUUGAGGUCUGAUGUGGACCCCCUCUUAAGUAAGCUGUUUCCGAAUCAACAAAAUCUCUAUGCUUAACAUAGACGAAUAAGGAUGGGUUCCGCUGGGCUAGAUCGUGAGCUAUAUGCUUAUAACAUCCGAUCGAGGACCAAUCACACAAAGAAAAAAAUGGGAUUACCUGUCUUUCCCCUCUCUUGUCAACUGCAUACUGCAUGGAGUCUUCCCCGGAAAAAAGGCGAGGCUGUCGAUAUGCUAUUCACAGCCUGAGAGUGAGCAGAGAAUAGUCUUUUUAUUUACUUUAUUUGACCUUUUUUACCUUCAUGUGGCAAACUGGGGAACUUAGGUUCUCAAACUUUACUUUAUUUUCUUGCGCGACGAGAUACUGAUAAAGUAUCAGUAGCCCGUUUUCGCUUAGGAAGACAAAGCAGUGUCAAGCCGAGGGACGAGGUCGCGAUGGAGAAGCUGCUCCCGUAAAGGCUCAAACUCUGGGCGCAGGCGCAUCAGGAGCAGAUAUAGGCGCUGGCGAUCACGGAACUGCUGAUAUGUCUUAGCAACUGAGGAGGGAAGCUGGAGGCGGAGGCGAAGAUGAGACUGCAAAAGGAAAGCAUUUCUCGCCAUGUGGUUUUUGACGAGAAAUGUAAAGGCGACCGGUUAGAGGAUCUGAAAGAGAGAGUGUAAGAAAAUUGAGCGAGGGAUCGAGUGGUGCGGGAACUCCGGAUACUGCUAAAUAGUGGUUUCAGUCUCCACAGAAAGGAAUCAAUUGUUAAGAAAGCAUCUCUGGGCCUGGGCUUGGAUCAAGCAAGCUCAUAAUUUUCUUAUAUGCAGGGAGAGAUUGAAAAACUGCAGACGGAGCAUUUGAACGGUGGUAACCAUAAGCAGUUUCCCUUCAACACAAAAGAGGAAAAGGCACGGCUCUUCCGCGCUGUAUGGGAUUUCAAAGGGGGAGGGGGUAGGUAAAUGAGAAAGGUAGAGUAAGAUAUUUUCAUUCUAACAGAAUGAGCGGAUCCAAUACACAUAUUGUCUUUGACANCAGCAGCCCUACUCUCUCUCUCUUUCUAUAUAUAUAUGUGUAUAAAUAUAUAUAAUUCAGCUAAUAUACUAUCUGUAGCAUGGAGGCCUCUUGUGCUACCAAGCUGUUUCGAUAAUGCAGCUUCUGAAUCGACGAUCGACUUUGUUAGCUUUGAUGUACACUAUCAGAAGUAUAUAGAAACCACAUUUUACGAUUUUUCGACAUCAUUUAUCUGUCUAGGGGUACUGAUUUUUCGACGUCAUUUAUCGAAAAAGUAGUCUAAAAAUUAAUGUAUAUAUAGUCUGGCUACUAUGCUAUUAAUAGCACGAAGCACUUGGUGCUACCAAGUUUUCCACCGUUAGAUCUACCAUUUUCAUCAUUUUCACCGUUAGAUCAUACUAUUCAACUAAUCACCCACUCAACCCUAAGGGGCCCACAUCAUCCUAACCACACAUCUCUUAAUCCAAUGGUCAAAAACUUGGUAGCACCAAUGACUUGGUGCUAUUAAUAGCAUAAUAGCCUAGUUCUAUAUAUAUAUAUAUAUAUAUAUAUAGUGGCUUCCUUUUUCUUUUUUUUUCGACGUCAUAUCUAUUCGUUGUAAUGAUUCAUCUUCUUUUUCCCCGCGUUCUCUGUUGAUUUUGUGUUUCAUUAUUGUUAAAUUGCGUACAAAUUUUCUAUAGUUUUCUGCAUUGCAAGUAUUCAAUACAUUUUUUUUAUUUAUUUUUAAUUUUUCAGUGUAGUAAUGGCAGCUCUAUUNAUUAAUUAUUAGUAAUUUAAUGUGUUGGUAUGUAAGUGUACUCGCAUUUUCUAUGUAUAUUUAGUAUUAAUUUGUUAUAAAAUAAUUUGUAUAGUUAUAUUUAUUGUGUUAUUUUUCUAAUACCUUAAUGGUCCUUUUUUCUGAGAAUUGAGCCAAAUUUGGCGGCUAUAUGCAUGAUGCCGUUUAUGCUGGGAGUGUGCUUCCUCUGCCCCUUAAUGGACUGCCUCUAGUACAAAUACCAUUACUGCCCUAAUUGCGGCGAAAAGGUAUUAUCUUUCCGUCCUACCUUCUUUUUCUAAGUAUACUCACUACGGAAAUAAAUAUUAUUCAAAAAUAUUAAUGAAUAAUAAAAAAAAUAAUAUUAAUAGUUUUAAUAAUUGACUAUUGUAUCAACUUUCCGCCGCAACGCGCGGGGUUCCUUAACUAGUAUUAAGUAUUAAUGCGAAUCCGGAGAAAGCUCCCUCCACGUUUUGGGGUUGUUGGGCCCGCUUGGUACGAAUUCUCUUUAAGCGCAUUAAUGAGGGUUUANAACAAAGUGGAAGCACGGAGGCCUCCGUGCUUACGAAAGCACCCCAGCCCACUCUAUAUAUAUAUAUAUAUAUAUAUAGAGAGAGAGAGAGAGAGAGAGAGAGAGAGAGUCCGGCUAUUAUGCUAUUAAUAGCAUGAAGCACUUGGUGCUACCAAGUUUUCCACCGUUAAAUCUACCAUUUUGAUCAUUUUCAUCCGUUAGAUCAUACUAUUCAACUAACCACCCACUCAAUUCUAAGGGGCCCACAUCAUCCUAACCACACAUCUCUUAAUCCAAUGGUCAAAAACUUGGUAGCACCAAUGACUUGGUGCUAUUAAUAGCAUAGUAGCCUAGUUCUAUAUAUAUAUAUAUAUAUAUAUNNNNNNNNNNNNNNNNNNNNNNNAUAUAUAGUGGCUUCCUUUUUCUUUUUUUUUCGACGUCAUAUCUAUUCGUUGUAAUGAUUCAUCUUCUUUUUCCCCGCGUUCUCUGUUGAUUUUGUGUUUCAUUAUUGUUAAAUUGCGUACAAAUUUUCUAUAGUUUUCUGCAUUGCAAGUAUUCAAUACAUUUUUUUUAUUUAUUUUUAAUUUUUCAGUGUAGUAAUGGCAGCUCUAUUUGGUUAAAUUUAUUUUUGACAAAUAUAGCGUGACAUCUACCAGCAUUUUUCUGUCUACACAGGCAUAUAGUAUUUCGAUUGAAAAUGAAGGGCUUGUUAGUAUUUACAUUAAUGUUAAAGUCUUCAUAGGAGAUUCUGAUACAAAGGUAAUUAGGUGUUGGCGUGCACCCUCCAAUGUUGAUGAGACAGAAGAGGACGUUGCACACCACGCUUUUGCCAAGUCACGUGAUGAGUUCACCUUUGAGCUGAAGGAUGUUAAUCUAGAAGAUAAAAGCUUUAUGAGAAUCUAUAUGAGCGAGUUUUUGUGCACUACAGUGAUCUCGGCAAUAAAUAUAAGUUCUUUGGAGGUGACUUAUGCAUUUUAAAGGUUGCUACAAUAAUCUAUUUACCGAGAAAGACUAGUAUGCUUCUGAACGAAGAAAAAUAAAAGAAAAUUUGAAAAAGUAUUUCUAUCUAAUCAAAGGGCCCUAGGCUGUUGCACUUGGACCAAGUAGUAGCGAGGGAAUUUCUGAGGAAGACCCUACAGUGCCGUUGGGGUAAUAUGAGGAUUGACGGAUUGUCGAAGCUGGCUUCCUUUUGUCGUACUUUUUAAUUUAAUUUUUUCUAUUUUUUAUAUUGUUAUUAUGUUUAGGUCUCUUGAUAUUUCUCUUUCUCUCUCUCUCUCUCUCUCUCUCUCUCUCUCUCUCUCUCUCUCUUCUUUUUUUUUAUUUUUUAUUUUUUUUUUUUUGAGAUCCUGCUUGUAUGGCUUAUGGCCUGACUAUAGUAUUUUUUUGGGAUAAUUUCAUAGAUGCCCCUCUAGAAACUAUUAAUUUCAUCAAUACCCUUCCAAAAUUAGUAAUAUCACAAAUGCCCUUCAAAAUGUGAAAAAUUAUCAUAAAUACCCUCCUCUAGUUAAGACCCGUUAAAGCCCAUUUGAAUCGGAGUUAAAAUUUUAAAAUACCAUUUUUACCCUUUAUCUCUUUUUAAUAGUAGAAAUACUAAUAGGUAUUUCAAAAUAAUUUUUGUAAAUCUAAAUUUGAGUAUUUAAUAUAUAAAUAGUUAAUUAAAUUAUUAAUAUAUAUUAAUUAAUAAAAAAUAUAUAAAAAUUGUAUUUUAAAUAUAGUAUGUUUUUAUCUGAUUUUGGUUUUGUUUUUGGUUUUGGGUUUCGGUUCAGAUUCGGUUUAAAUAUAGACCAAAACUAUAUAACUGAAUUUACAUACGACGGGAUUUUAUUUUUUGGUAUCUAUAACUAAAACUAUCCCCUAUUCAGCAUUGAUUAAACUUAUCCCAUUUUAAAUCGAGUUUAGAUAAAAUUCCGUAUCUAUAUCAAUUCACAUUCCUAAUUAGUAAUAGUAAUUUUGAAAUAAAUUAUAGAUUUUAUUUUUUUCCUAUUUAAAAAUAAAUCACAUAAUUGUUUUGUCGAUUGAAAUAAAAAGAGAGUUUUGUUCAAAAGCUAAAAUAUAUUAUAUUUCAGUUUUUUAAUACACUUAAUGCAGAUAAAAUUAUCGAGAAUAAUUUUGAUUAAAAAAAUUUUUAAGUUUUCAAGAUUAAAGAAAGAUCGGAUAAUUCCUUAACAUUAUUUUCAUUUAAAUUUUUAUAUAUAGUUAUUUAUUUGAUAAAAAAUAAAUAGAAUCAUUAGAUUUGGUAAAAUCAUAAAAAAAAACUAAAAUUUUUUUUUUUUUUUAUACACUGAAAUUAGGUUUUUUUUAAAAUAAAAAGUUAAUGGGAUAUCAACUAAAAAAUGAAAGUUGAGGGAGCUGUUUCAAAAUUGCAUAUAGUUGAGGGGGUUUCCAUAUAUUUUUAGUUAAAAGAUAUUUGAGGGUAAAUAAGUCAUUUUAUAAAUUAACCUAUCUUUAACCAUGUAAUAACUAUAGUAAAACUAACAUAACUAACAGUAGGGGUAUUAAUGCUAAUUUUUUGUGUUUACAGGGGUAUUGAUGAUAUUUUAAACUUUAUAGGGGCAUCUAUGAUAUUUUAAACUUUGGGAGGGGUAUCCAUGAAAUUGCCCCUAUUUUUUUCUACUCCUUUUCCUAUUUUCCUCUUUAGUCUCUUGCUCAUGUUCGAUGUAAGCAUCAUCUUUUCCCGUGGAAGCGCUUGCUAAUUUUUGGUUAUGAUUGUUAUAUUAGAGCUAGGCUGGUAUAUUAUUGGUAGUACGGAGGCCUUCAUGCUACCAAGUUAUUUUCAAUGAUGCGACUUUCAAAUCGAUGAUCGGCUCCGUUAGACUUGAUCUACACUAUUAAAAGUAUUUGGAAAUUAAAUUUCAUAAUUUUUCGACAUUAUUUGGCUAGUGAUCAAAAGGUCUCAAAAUUGACAAUUUUAAUGGUAGAUGUGAUGCGUUUGUAAAUUUAAUGGUGUAAAAUAAUCAAAAUCUAAUGAAAUUUUUAUGGAAAUUUCUUUUCACUAUUUAGAGUAAGAUCAGUAUCUCUUAUCUUAAAUUUAAAUAUUUUAUCAUCAUUUUUAUGAGAUUUUUAUUUUCAGCCAUUCAUUUUUCGACUACUCGUUUGAUAGGUAAAUGAUGUCGAAAAAUUAAGAAAUUUAGUUUCCAAAUACUUUCAAUAGUGUAGAUCAAGUUUAAUAGAGCCGACCGUCGAUUUGGAAACUAUAUCAUUGAAAACAACUUGUUAGCACGAAGGCAUCCGUGCUAUCGAUAGUAUACCAGGCUAGCUUGUUAUAUUAUGUGUUUAUAUAUCCACAGGUUUUUUUUUUUUUUUUUUCCUGUGCCUCCCUUUCGUAUUUAGGGUUUGCGUAUAUACUUUUGCGUUUUGCUCUAUAUGCUGUUUUCAGUUCAAAUAUUGUUGCUUAUCUUUAUGUUUAUAGUGCUCUGUUAUAGAUAUUUAUAUUCUGUAUUCUGAACAUUCAAACAACAAGAGAUCAGAAAAUUAUCCUUGUUGUUUUUAAGCACGUGCACUUUCAGAAGAUUAAGAAGUUAAAGACAUAAUUAUAUGGAAAUAACAAGAAUUGCUAGUGAUUUAGUAAAUAUUAAUAUAAUUUAAGAAUUUGAAUGCCCAUCAUGUUAUGAUGCUUAUACCAAUCAUAAACUUAAUAUAUGAUCUGAUCAUUUAAUAUAUUAUCUUAUCAUCAUACCAAAUAUUUUUAUUAACUGUCCAAAAUUAGAAAGCUAGUAAAACUCAGGCACAAGCAUUUAUAUUUAAGAGGAAACUUCAGAUAUCUGCUAUGGUUUAUUCUUGUAGUUUUUAUUUUCACUUUUCAUUAGCAUUACCAUUAUCUCAUCUAUUAAAACUAUCACAUGCUGCACACGUGUAUUGGAGGUGUUCCGAAAAGGUUGAUACGAAAGUUCCGAAAAAUCAAUAAGAAAGUCAUAAGUCAUCAUAGGACUUAACCGGAAUGUUUUUGGAGUCCCCAAUAGCAAAAAAAAUAACGAUCUACCAUGCAUGUGCACGACACGUGACAAUUAUAACGAAAAAAUGGUGAUAGUGCUAAUAACAAGCAUAACCAGAAACUGUAAAAAUACUUAAGUGAACCUCCGGACACAAAUGAAAAACAGUAAACUACAUACAUGGUAUCUAAGAUUUUUCUUAAAUUUAAUAACACUGUAAGUAAUCCACUUUUGACAGUAAAAUAAUUAUUGGUUACUAGUAAUCCGUGUCGCUCUCACUAUAGUCCAUAUUAUAUAUGGAUAUGAUAUCAGUACAUCAUUUGUCUUUCUUACAAUACGACGACUAGGACUAGAAUGUUCUUAUGAUUACAUAAGAAUAUGUAACAUUAAGAAUAUGUAUGCCAUACACCUCGCUGGGAUUGUAGUUCAAUUGGUCAGAGCACCGCCCUGUCAAGGCGGAAGUUGCGGGUUCGAGCCCCGUCAGUCCCGAACUAGGAUCCGGUGAAUUUAUCAAUUCAUCUCUCUCUUUUCACGGAAAAGGGGGACAGGAAGCAAGAUCUAAUCCCCAGUGGGGAGGGAUCCUUAUUUCUUUUGUUUUUUAUUUCGCAUUUAUCAUCACACAAAUACGGAUACGGGAAUUUCAAAUCUUUCCACUACUCCCGAUUGAUAAAGGAGAGACAUAUCAUAUGUACAUUAGUACAAUCGGUGGUAUUACUAUAUUCAGUAUUUUAAGAGAUACCAUCCUCGUCUUACUUUCUUUUUCGAUUGUUCUUGAUCCAUGAAAUAGAGUAGAGUUAUUUUAUCGGGAGUACAUACACAAAUUCUAUUCGUUUAUUGUAUGAUGGACAAUGAACUUAACAUAAUUAUCUCGACAAAGUACUUUUCAGAUUAAACCAUACUUUUCUAAUUAUGACUUUGUUUGUGUAUCCUCAAUGACUAAUUGUAAACAAUCUAUCUCAUUCUCAUUCAAAUUGCAGACAUCAUUUUUGAUGUACGCGUUUCAGUGCAAAAGAAAAGAAAAAAGCAAGCGAGGACUCUUUUUAGAAAGAGUCAACUCUUUCUUAUAUUUCUAAGGAUCUAGUUCAUGAUACUUUACUUAAUUAAGUAAAGUAUCAUGAAAAGCAAACAAAAAAGUUUAGCUCUUUUUUCUCAUUGAAAGAUUGGUUAUCCACUUUUGACCGUAAAAAAAUUAUUGGUUACUAGUAAUCCGUGUUGCUCUAAAUAUCGAUGUUUUUUCGAAAUGUAAUGAAUAGAAGAGCAACCGAUAAUCCACAUAAAAGAACUGCACAGCUCAAUAACAUCAUACUUACGUGCAUCAUUAACCACUGAGAUUGUAGAGCAGGUACUAAUAUUGCAGAUUGAUGCAUUUCAGUUGAAAGACCCGACAUGGCAAAGCCUUGAGUAAAAAUGGUACUUGGUGCAAUUAUUGUGUCUAAAUCAUUUUGAAGGUUACGUAUCUUAGGAAUCAUAUGAAUAAUGAAGAAACUAUAUGAAAGAAAGAUUGAUGACUCCCAUAAAUUACUUAAUGAAAAAUACCCUGAAGAAAUCCAACGAUGAACUAAUAAUCCUGUUAUAGAGAAAAAAGUAGCUAUCAUCCCUUUUUCUGACCAACCACAUAAUCCUACAAUUUUGUGGACUAAUAAGGUCAUCACAUAAAUCAUAAUCACAAUUGAAAUGAUCGACAAAGAGAUAAAGAGAUACUGAGUUACUAUAUACUAGAUGGACAUGAGAACACCAAAUUGCCGGCAAAACAAGAAACCACACUAGGACUCGGCACAAGUUGCCAAAAAGCACUUUUUUUUUUUUUUUCAUUAUGAUUAAAAUAAUAUGCCUAUAUACAAAGGAAUUGCUCAAAACUCGAAAGGGAAUGAGCGUCUCACUUACAUCGUGAACCAAAACUGUUUUUGUAAUUUAUAUAGGACAUUAGCAUGCUACAGUAUAUAAAGACCGAGUAGUAUUGAGUAUCGAGUCAACCAGCUGCCGUUCAAUUAGAGUACAACUUCCAAACUUUCAGCUCACCGGCUCCAUCUCCUGUAAAAAAGAGACCACCAGGGCCGAUCUCUAAAGUCCUCACUUCCUCCUUGGAAAAAAUCCUCCCUCUUUCAUUGAAUCUGGGAAAUAUAAAGUGCACACGGUAAAACAGGGAAACAACAUUUCAUAGGAUAAUACAAAGCAAGAGUAAGUUACUUUAGUUAUAUGACACACUUACGAUGGUAGGUCGUAGACACGCACAACAUUGUCGUUGCAUGAGCACAUGAGCACCGGACUGGCUUUAGCAUCAUUCACUCCGUGCAGCACAAGCACUCCCUGCAGCAAUUAACAAUAGAUGACAUUAAUGAAAGUAGGGUUAGGUAGAGCUCAAGGACGUAGCUUGCAUAAGCGCGCGUCAUACAAUACAUCAGUUCAACACUACGUAAUUAUAUGGUUCUAUUGAGUAAAAUAAGCAAAAAUAAUCACUUGACUCGUUGAAUAAAUGGAAAUCUCCACCAGUAUUACACCAUGAAAUUGUUCUAAGCACACUAUCUACAUGACAGAAGACACAUUAUUGAAGAAAAGAUCCAAAGUAGAAGAGCAGUUUGCUAGAUGAAUAAGGCCCACUAGUACAGCAGUGCCAAAAUGAUUGAUGUAAAAAUAGGAAAGUUUGAUAUCAAAUCAGAUGCACAAAAUGAAAUGCUUCAGUAUACACUAUGUACAAUGAGAUUAAGUUCCAACUCUAGUAGCAUCAUGCAAAGUUGCCAUCAAAGAGCACAAGACAAUCACAAAAAUAAAGAAAUACAAAUUUAGCGUUUGAGGUCUCGUAAUUGAUUAGGCCAAGAAAGAUGAAGAAGAUUCCGAAUUUUUUAUGACACCACAUGCAAAAGGUAAUCAUUAGAAUUAUAAGCAGCCUACUGAAAAGCAAGACUACUAAAACUUAUAGGUAGGCUAAGUUCUUACAUGCUCUUCCUUGUGGGUAUACUCUACUUCUAUCCCAUUGUUUUCUGCAGCAGCCCAGACCUGCAAAAGACAAAGCAGUAAGAACACACAAUAAAAACGGCAAUUCAAAUGAGAUGUGUUCAAAGUACAAAAAAUUCGGACCUUCACCGUUCCAUCCAAGGAGCAAGAGAACAAAAACUGGUCCCAGCAUAACAGUGACAUAACAACUGAUUCAUGGCCUGUAAGGGUGUGCGUGCACUGGAGAGUUGCAAAGUCCCAAACCUGAAAGAAAAUCCUAAAAGUUAGAUCAUCUCAAUUCCUUUGAUAUUAGUAAAACAAAGAACUCAAAAUAUAGACUGAAAUCCCACAUUCUAUGUAAAUUCUACAAUUUACAAGAGAUACAGAAUCAAAGGCCCAGGUGAAAUAAACUAGUAGGAAUUUUCACACAUCUUUGCAGUCAAGAAUUAUCAAAAAAAAACUCAAUAUUUAUAAUGUUAGUCCUGUCUCACACUUGUAUAGAGCUUCAAUUGAUUAUAUAAUAAUGUGAAAUUCAACUCUAGUGAAGCCUUGGAUGCUAGCUAUGUAGAUGAAAAAGUUUUAACAGGACAAUCUACAUAAAAAACUUCCCUCUUGUGCCAAGCAAUCUAAGGCACAUUCUACGUAAAUGCUACAAUUUACAAAAGAUCCAGAAUCUAAGGCUGUAAGGCGCAUAUAAAAUAAACUAGUGAGAAUUUUCGGAGAUCUUUCCAGUCAAGUAACUUUCUAAAACUUUAAUAUUUAUAAUGUUAGUCCUAUCUACACUUGUAGAGAGCUUCAAUUGAUUAUAGGCUGGAAAAUUCAAAUCUGGUGAAGCCUUGGAUGUUAGCGUUGUUGCUAAAAGAGUUUAACCGAACAAUAUACAAAAAAAACUUUCCUCGUGCCAAGCAAUCCAAUCUUAAAACAGCUGAUAUUAUAGGAGCUUACAAAGUUGUGAAAUUUAAUACUGGAUCUGGAUGUGAUGAGUCGAAUCAGCAGAAACCAUUUCCCAAACAUCAAUUGGUCAUACUAUACAUAGACAAGUCUUGACGACCAAGAUAAAUAUCAACCAAGACCUAGUAUUUAAAAGGUAAGAAAAGGCUGAUGACUGAAUUAUUUGAAGAUCUGAAACAUUUCACUCUAGAUGUGUUAUUCACCUACAUAUGAAAUCGACAACAUAUAAGCUAAAUGAGAUAAAUGUAUUGAAAGUUGAAACGAAUUCGCACACAUGAUUCAUAGGGCCAUUAAGGAAUAUCAGAAGAUAAAUACUGCUUCAGCAUAAAAGGAUAUAAUUAUUCAUGAUCAAUUCUAUUCAGCAUAACUUCCUAGGAUUUUUUAAGCACAUGCACAAGCAAGCAUCUUUUCGUUUGGAGGAUUGAUGGGAUUAUUCUGACUUACCCUAAUUGUACAGUCCCCUGAACCAGAGUAGAGCCGGUGUGCUCCUACAAUGAAUGACACUACAGCUUUUUUAUGCCCACGAAGUGUGGCAGCUGGCUCAAAGCAGCACUUAUCUGGAUUAGGCUUCCAAGCCCAAAUACUUCCAUCCUGCAGCAGCACAAUACAAUACACAGAAAUUUUGAAUUAGAUUUAUACUCCAUCACAUAGAAACAUCAUUGUGCCAAUCACAUAGAAACAUCAUUGUCCAAAAAAAAAAAAAGAAAAAAGAAAAGGCCAAACAAAGAGACAGCUUUGUAGCAUAACCAAUUAUAAGAUUGUAAAGAAAAUUACCUGUGUCCCAGCAAAGAGUGUGUUGUUGCCUACUAUCAAGGCAUAGACCUGACCUUUGGGUCCUUCAAGGGUUACAUCAAUUGAAUCUUGUAAGUUCCAAGCCUGUGAAUUUGCAAAAGAUGGAUAUAACUAUAGUAAAUCAUAAUGAAAAAAGUUUCUUGCUCAUGUGCAUUCAAACAGAUCAAUAAAUCUUAAAAAAAGGUCUACAACUCGUAACCUUGACAGCAUUAGGAAGCCCAACAAAAACCCAUUGCCCCUCACUAAUGAUGCAACCGACUUCGCCUUCCAUGGUAACAACUUGGACACACUGCAGAAAACAGAUUAUCAAUUCAUCAAAGAGAACCACAAAAUCUCAGUUGGUCAGAGAUAAGAUUGUCAAAAACCAAAAGCUAACCUGUCCUGUCCAACAGUCCCAGAUUUUGACAGUCUUGUCAUUGCUCCCAGAGAACAGCUUACCAAACCCAGAAACCAUAGUAAUGCCUGUAACAGCCUGCCAAGAACCAACUUAUCAGAUACAACAAAAACAACAAAAACAACAAUAACAACAACAACAAAGAAAGCAGCAGAACCGAAGAAUUUCUAAGAUUGAAGCCAUUGAAUGUUACCUUGCUGUGUCCCCCAAGACGAGCCAACAAGGAGAAGCUAUCACUAAUACACCAAGAAUGUCUGUCCCGGCAACUCUCACCAUAGCUACAAUUCCCAGAGAUGAAGUGUUUACAGAUCACUUCUCGAGUGUUGCCACAUAGACGAGCUUCUCCCUUAUUCAUUUCCUCAGAAUCCUUAUUGGUGGCCACAGCGGGGGCCUUUCCAUUGCUCCCAAGGUUGCUAUCACAGACAUCCUCCACAGAACAAGCAUAGUGAUUCACGGGCAUUGCUGGGGGCUUCGCAUUGCCCUGUUGAUUAAUCUUGCAGAUUCCUUUUGAAGAAGGGACAUUGGGUUUACUGUUGGUAUUAGGUUUUAUUUCCCCAGAACCACCCUUUCUGGUGGCCACAGUGCAGGUCUUCCCAUUUAUUUCUACAUUCCUAUCACAGACUACGUUCGGAGUAGUACUAGAACCAUCCACGGCCACAGCGGGGCACUUCAUCAUGCAGACUCUUUUCGGGGAGGGGGCAGAGGGUUUAGGGCCUGCACUAGGGUUUCUCCAUACACGGCCCGUACCCUGGUGGCUCUUCUUGACAGGAGGCACCAAAUGAUCGGGCCCAACAGCACGCUUCCGCAUAGACCCGACAUUUGGAUGCUGGGGCUCUCCGUGGAGGAAAGGGCAUGGGUGGCGGGUGCAGCGCCCGGCCUUCCAGUAGAAGCAGACCUUGAUGGUGCUGGUACCAUUAGUCAACGGCGCUGUCCCUCGGGCGUUCUUCUGGAAUCCGUAGCGCUUAGGUUCUAUAGAUGCAUCCGAAUAAUAAAAGUAGAAGACCAUCAGAAUCAGACGAAACAUAUAAUCCAAAACUCUCAUCUUGAGCCAUCUUCCAGGUAGUAGAAAGGGCGUACACGAAGAAGAUCAUCAAAAUCAGACGAAAUAAAAAAUCCAAGCCCUAAUCUGCCAACAUCUUGUAGGUACCGUAGAUCCAUCCGAAUAAUAAAAGCAGAAGACCAUGAGAAUCAGACCCAACAUAUAUAAUCCAAAACCCUCAUGUUGAACCUUCUUCCAGGUAGUAGAAAGGGCGUACCCGAAGAAGAUCGUCAAAAUCAGACGAAAUAAAAAAUCAAAACCCUAAUGUUCCUACAUCUUCUAGGUAAAGACGAAACAUAAUUCCCAAACCCUUAGCUUCAACCUUCUUCUGGGUCGUAGAGAAGUCGAAUAAGAAGAAGAUCACCAAAAUCAGACGAAAUAUACAUCCAAAACCCUAACCUUGCAACUUCCUCUAGGUAGAAACGAAACAUAAAUCCAAAAAAACUGAAUCUUGAACCUUCUUCUGGGAAACGUAUAGGGCGAAGACGAAGAAGACGAUCAAAAUGAGAUAACACAGAUAUCCAAAAUCAUAAUCUAGCAACAUCUUCUUGGAUAGGAGACAAUGUAGCCCCAAUCUCCAAAUCCGCAGAAGUUAAAGAGCAAGAAUCGAUUCCAAAUAUCUAAUUCUGAACCUUCGAGGCAUUCGAAUCUGAAACCCUACAUUCCGCGACUUGCGCGGAGAAGAAGAAAGGCGAAGAAGAAGAAGAACGAGAGAUCGCCGCGGACAUCGGAGAUAUGGAAUCAAACCUGAGCGCUCCGAGGAAAUCACCAUCGCCAUGGUCGGUGAGGUCGUGAGAAGCUCUCAAGCGCUUUCUCUCUCUAUCGAUUAUCAAUCUCUCUCUCUCCCUCUCUGUAGCGAGGUAUCUCCCUUAACCCGAUGAUGACGAACAAUUGCACCGUUGCUCCCCUCACAUUUGUAUUUCUAUUUAUUUACACCCCGACUUGUCUUUUUUUUUUUUUUUUUUUUUUUUAAGGCUGUUAGGUCUUUAUUUUUUUGCUUUAUUUUAGUUAGAGUUUGGUUCGAAUUCGAAAUCAGUAUCAAAAUCAAAAUAAAAAUAAAUUAAAUAUUAAAUAUUAAAAGUUUUCGUCAAAAUUUUAAAAUGACAUUAUACUUUUAAAUAUAUUUUUAAUAAAUUAAAAUUUAAAAUUCAACGGAUAAUUCAAAAUAUAAAACUAAUUUUGAUUUAUUCAAAUUCAAACUUAAAUUAUAAUUUAAAUUUUAAUUUGAAUGCAUAAAUUUAAUUUAAAUUUUAAAUAAAAUUUGAAUAAAAUUUUAUAUUUUUAAAUUAAAUUUAAAUUCAAAUUUAUAAAUUAGAUACGAUAUGCUUGAUUGAAUUUUUAAUUUUAAAUUUAAAGUUCAAAUUAAAAUUUACAUUUAUAAAUAUAAUUUUUAAACUUAACUUAUGUUUAAUUAAAAAAAAGUUUAAAAAAGUUAAAUUUAAAUCGAACAAUUUCAUUCCAACCGGAUUCAAUUUUCAAUCCGGUCUCUAGGCGAUUGAAAAAAUGGAUAAUUAGAGAAUUCCGUUCACCUGAAAAUCGGAAUCGAAAUAAAAAUCCGCAAUACCAAAAAAGACAAAUGGAUUCGUCCAUGGCCGAUUCAAUUCUAGAGUGAAAAUGAGGUAAAUCAAACACGCCCUUAGGCUGCGUUGGUUAAGGGAUAUCCCAGAACAAGGCGGGAUAUCCCUCCAAACAUAAUGCAUUUUUGGAACAACCGGGUUGUUCCCAACAACCCGUUAAGCCGGGAACAACCGGUAAACUUGUUCUCCCUAAAGGAGAACAAGCCGAACAAAAGUUUGGACUUUUUUUUUUCUUUUUUUUUUUUUUUUUGCCUUUUAAAUUUUAUACUUUAUUUAAUUAAUUUCAAAUAAAUUAAAUGAAUGCACAAAUUUAAUAAAUAAAUAUUUAAUAUAAUAUUAUUUUAUGAUAAUAUAAUUUAUACUUAAAUUUAUUAUAUAAUAUAAUUAAUUAAAUUUGAUAUAUAUUUUAUUUAUUAAGUUUUAUCAUUUAUAUAUUAAUAUUUAAUUAUUUUAUUUAUAUUACUUAUUAUAUACAUAAAAUUAUUUUUUCAUAUAUUAUAUAUAUUUUAACUUGUAUUGAAAUUUAUACUUAAAUUUUUAGAUAAUAUAUUUAUACUUAAAUUUUAUAUAUAUAUAAAUAAAUUAAAUUUCAAUAUGUAUUUAUUUUAUUAAUUUUAUCAUUUAUAUAUUAAUAUUUAAUUAUUUUAUUUAUAUUAAUAUUAUAUACAUAAAACAUUUUAUCAUAAUCUAUAUAUAUAUAUAUAUAAUAUAUAUUAUAUAUAUUAAUUGUAUUGAAAUUUAUCUUAAAUUUUAUAUAAUAUAUUAUACUUAAAUUUUAUUAAUAAUAUAAAUUAAUAAAUUUGAUAUAUUUUUUAUUUUAUUAACUCUAUCAUUUAUAUUAAUAUUUAAUUAUAUUUUUUUUAUAUUUGUAUUAAAAUUAUACUAAUAUUAAUUAAUAAAUAUAGGAUAAUUUAAGUAUUUACUUUAUUCAUUAAUAUAUUAUGAAUAAAUUAUAGAAAAUAAAUUAUACAUAAAAUAAAUUAUUAUAUAUAAUAAAAUAAUAUAUUAUUUUAAAUUAUAUCUUACAUAAAAUAUUAUUAUAAAUUACUAUACGAAAUAAUUUUUAAAAUAUUUAUAUAAAAUAUACUAAUAUAAAUUAUUAUUUUUAUUUUAAAAAUAUAUUUAACGUUGUUCUAGACUUUUUAUCCAAACGCUAUUAAGGAUAUCCUCUAGAAUAUCCUCGAAUGCAUCCAAACACAAAUUUACAAUUGUCUACUUUGUACCGGAAUACCCUGUUCUCGGAACAACAAAAGUUGUUCUCCAAAAUUUAGUUUCUCCAACCAAACCAACGCCUAGAGCCCAAUCAUUUAAAAAUUUUUAUUAAUUAUGAAAGCAUAGUACUGGAACUCUAAUUUACUAAUAUAGUCGUGAUUAAAUGUGACCUCAUUGAUGUCAAAUAUAUUUGAUGUUCCAAAAAAAAAAAAGACAGUGGGCGUCAUAUGUAAUAUUGAGUAGUUGAAGGCACAAAAAAUAAUUUUAAUAAUAGAACCGGACUUGACAUAUGGACGGCAAAAGAGGUCAGGGAUAGAAGUGAAUAAUAAAUAAAGGUUAGAGAUUUGGGUCAAUUAAUUCUAAAGUUAGAUUUUUUAAACUACAAAAAAAAAAAAAAAAAAAAAACUAUCAAAAUAAAAUCUACGGUAGAGGUCGAGAUAGAUAGUGCAAUUAAACAAAAAUUUUAAAAAAGCAAUGAUAGUCCUCCCGCCCUAAUGGUCAGCUAAUUUUUUAUUUAAUUUUAUAAAGAAAAAUAAUAAUGGAAGACACCUAAACUAUAUUAUUUUGAAAAUGGAGCUAUGAAAAGCUUUGCAACUAAACCUCUUAAACUAUAUAAAAGAGUUCAAUAGACUCCUACACUAAAUCAAAGUUAUUAGGUAUAUAGUUAUUUUGAUCGCAUGUCUUAUGCAUAAUCUUGACGAUUUUGAAACAUAAAAAAACUAUUGGAAAUAAUAAUCAAAACUUAAUUAAAAUAUAGCUUGAGAUACGUUUAAAUCUUUUAUUUGAUUAUGAUUAUGAUUUUGAUUUGUACUAUUUUCUCUUGUACCAAUUGUUGGACCGAUACUUAUGCCAAUACUGAUUAUGUAACCUAAAAUCUAAAAUAGAACAAAAUAUAAUAUGAAAAAAAAUAUUGAAGAAUGAAGAAGAAAAUAAACUAAUACUUUAUUAAUAAAAAUAUUUAAUUAUAUUCCGGGCAAUACCCAUGCAACCAUGUUUACUUGUGGCUUAGCCAUCUAAUUAAUCAAUGACUAACUAUAUAUAGCCAUCAAGUCAAAAUAAAUGAUAAAUCUAACUUUUACUUUGGAUAAGUACAAAUCCUAAUAUAAUCAAAUAAAAGAUUUAAACUUAUCUCUAACUAUAUUUUAAUUAAGUUUGGAUUAUUAUUUCCAAUAUCCUUCCUUAAUCCAAACUUCAUCUUCAAGUCGCAAAUUUCGUAAAAUACACACUUUGAUUUUACAAUCUCUGUUGCUGUAGUUGUUAUCUUAAUUCGAGUUAUGCAGCAUGACGCUAGUCAAUGAUGUUGCCAUACAUGAAAUCUUUGCCACCUGUAAUACUGAUUAUUCACAUCAUCCUUAAAGACUUACGGGUUCCUGCAAAUAUCUGGAUUGUUCGUUGGUUUCAAAGUACGCCUC